GGAGGGGCGCCUUUCCCUCCUUGAGUUGCCAGCUACAGGCAUAGAGGAGAAGAAGGCCAAGGCCAAGGACGUGAAGCGCAAGGAAGCAGCCGUGCUCGCAGCAGAGCCAGACACCAAGCGAGGCAGAGAACAGCCUGAGUCGUCCAAGAACAGCCGACCAUUCUAUGCCUUCCACAACCUGAACACCCACAACACCAAUGACUGUCAAGACCUCAGAGCCAUUCGCGAAGGAUGCUUCGGCGACGCCCCGAGCGCAGCGACCGGGGCUACGACCGAGGAGGAGGACGUGGAGGCGGACGCUGGGACGACCAUGGUCCAUGCCAGGAGUGGCGCGACAGGCCUCAUGAGGACCGCUGGCAGGAUCAUCCUCGCGAGGGCGCCUGGAGGGACCGGCCUCGUGAGGAUCGCUCUGAGGGCAACGCCGGUCUUCCCCCGCCGCCGCCACCACCAAGAAGGAAUGAUGACCACCAUCAAGACAAGGGGGCUGGGGGCUUCCAGGAGCCGCGUGCAAUCGCCUGCAUCUUGGGCAGCGCGCAGGCCCCAGCCUCACAGCAUAGCUUCAAACAGUUCGCUCGUGAGGUGAAUGCAGCCCUCCCCAAGCUCGAGGCCACGCGCCCGCUCAGGUGGUCCCAGUGCGCCAUCACCUUCAGCUCGGCAGAUCAGCUCAAGUGCGCAGCCACCGCUACCGCCCUCCCGAUGCUUUGUUCACCAGUCAUCAGCAACGUGCAAGUUACCAAGACCCUCAUCGACGGCACUGCAGGGCUCAACGUCCUGUCUGUCGACAUGUUCGACAACCUCCAAGUGCCAUAUGAGCAGCUUCAGCCUACCAAGCCUUUCUCGGGAGUGACCGACGGUUCCACCACACUGAUAGGGCAUGUCCACCUCCCUGUCACCUUUGGGGAACGAAAAAACAACCGCACCGAGCUCAUCGACUUUGAUGCCGCGCACAUCCGUCUGCCGUACAAUGCCAUCCUCGGAUAUCCAGCCCUGGCUCAGUUCAUGGCGGUGACACACCAUGGUUACAAUGUCCUGAAGAUGCCAGGAAGCGGCGGAAUCAUCACGGUCCCGUGCGAAGUGAGGGAUGGGGUGUACUCCCUCGAGCGCGCCUUUCAAGCUGCCGCAAUCGACGACCCCGACAGCAAGAGCGAGGAUCCUCCCGAGGCCAUCCACAAGAAGAAGCACCAGCUGCGCCGUGCCGGACCUCAGGAGGGUGUCGUGGCGGCUGGAACCUCGUCAAGAUCAGCGCCCGCUCCAGGGGCGCCUCCCUCUGUCGCAUAGGAAGGCGCGCCCAGCGCCCUCCUCGGGCAGGGCUCGGGGGCUCUCUUCUGGAGGGCCUCAUACCUUGCCAACAUCACGAGGGAGGUGCUCAGGCACCACUUGGAGGCGUGCUUCGCGGAACGUUUCCCUCAGGAGAACACAGGGCAAGGAGCGCCCACCGCUCAGGAGUUCAUCACUAAGACCACUCAGGAACUGCAAGAUGCAAGGGCCAUGUGCGGCGACCGCCGCUCAUGAGGCGCAGCUCCCCAUCCAGGCGAGGAUGCUGGGCUGCGCGUCUGCGUUGACGUACCAGGGCUCAACAGGGCCGCAUCUCAGGAGCUUUUUGGCCUUUGCGCGUGGGCCGUUGUGAGGGUCCACCACACAACUACAUUCGCAUGCCCUUCGGCUUGCCAAGCAUGUCGUCAGCCUAUCAGUGCAACCUGCAGCGUGUCCUGGCGUCUCAGGAGGCCAGGCACCACGCCGUCCUGGCAGAGAUGGAGACGGUCCUCAGGGAACCACCUGAGCUCCCAGAGCCUCCCGAGGCUCAGGGCCCCGGUGCCUCGUGCGGAACGACCCCUGCACCGCGUGCCUUCAGCUGCACCAACUCUCCUUCGUCGAUGGAACUAGGUGACAUUUUCCAAGUUCGUUUAGCUGGGAGCACCCCUCGGGCUGCAUUAUUCCCAGGCCGAGUGGGUCCAUCCCCGUGGCAUGUAUCUCUUUUGCUUAUGUCUUUAGUUUACCCUGUUGGGGGCGCCCCUCGGGCUGCAUCAUCCCCAAGCCGCUCGGGCCUGACCUGGUGGCAUGUAUCUUUCUGCAUUUACCCAAGCUGAUCUGCCUUCCAUGCUUAACCUACCUAUGGCUAUCACUUGCUUGAUUGUUGCCCACUACGGGGGCCGCGCGCCGGCACCCUUUUUCAGGGCCCUUUUGCGUUGUCUGACCAUCUCGCAGGACCAAGACAAUAAACAAGGGCUAAGACCAGGCGCAACCCGCCUUGAGGUAGGCCCUCGUGAGUCCCGCGCUGGCUCACGAGUGCCCAAGCACACCUUGCUAAACCCUACCAUGCCAGCCACGUGUCAGGGUGGGGCUGUACACACCCCGGGGGCUCUCCGCAGUAGGGAGUCCCCUCGCCUGCUCCAGAAGGCCGUGCGUGAUGUGGGAGUCAUGCGUGGGGUGGUUCCCGCACGCAUGCGUCACAUCAUGGUAAAGAGGCGGCUCGCGCCUUCUCCAUAAAAGGAGGGAGGCGCAGAGGCACGGCCCAUUUACUCGGGUGGACUCGGGUCAUGGCCUUCAAGGCGCCCGUGCCCCAUGAUCACGGGGUGGGGAGCGGCCGCUUCGCCUGUCCCUUCAAUGCUGCUCACUCGCCAUGUGUCCCUCAUGCAGGUGACAGGAGGUGGAGGCGGGAAACCGGGCCGUCGCUGAUUGGGGCAGCGGGCCGGUCCUAAUUCCCUGCGCCCCCGAUGACCGGAUUGGUCGAGUGGGGCGGCCGAGCCUCGACUCCGCCCCUUUAUAAGGAGGGGAAGGAGGGCGGCCUUCCACAUUCUUCCAUCAUCCGUCUCCUUCCACCUCCGCUUCUUCCUUCCAUCCGCCAUGGCGAGAGGAAGCACUGGCCCUUCGACGGUGGCGGCGAGGGUCGCUGCCCACCAGCGCGUUCCUCCUUCCCAAGAGCUCGUGGCGGUGGAACCGGCCACGAGAGGAAGGGGGGGCGAGGUCGAGGUCAUCAUGGCACUCGAGGGAGAGGAGUACGGGGCGGCGCAUUGGCCUCGCCUCCGCCAGCGAUGCCUCCCUCGACGAAGCACCACGCCGGGGACCAGCCCUGUGAAUUCUUCAUCAGGCUGCGCCGGCCACCACGUCGCCGCCUCUGUCUCCCUACUGUCUUUGCUCAGGGGAUGGAGCUCGAUCCACCCCAGACCCUCUGGUUGCACAUGAAGGGCUGCGGGAACGGCGGCACGCAGGUCGACAUCGACUUCCCUGCCCCUCAUGUCAUGUAACUCCGCCGCAGAUGGAAGACGUUCACACGCAACCACAGCCUGACGGCGGGGCUUGUCCUCUACUUCAAGUUAAUGGAGGGCAGCCUGCUCUCCGUCAAGGUCUUCGGAGAUCUCAGAACACGCCUGAAGUGCUGCGUGGAGAGCUCCUCCAAUGAUGAAGAUUCCUCCUCAAGCGGGAGUGACGAGGAGGAUAGCGGCAGCAACGGCGAGGGAGUCGAGCGGCAAGAUGCCGACUCCGACUUCGAUUAACUGCGCUGCCCCUCCUCGUCGUCUCCUUAGGCGGCUGGCAUAGGAGGGCGGAGAGGGCGAAGAAGGCGGGUGGCGGCCGUCAAGUCAGAGUAUGCAGGCACCGAUGCCUUCGUCGCGUAUUGCCGGCCCGCUGCCUCAUCUUCCAGCUCCCCUCCUGGCAAUGGGAUGUUCUCUUGGUGCCUUCUGCUCCUCGCACCUCACCUAGUCAAUCUUUUCGCCCUCCUGCCCUCUUGUUCCACCUUCUGAGGAGAGGGAUAAGAAAGGGAUUAUGGGCAUCUUAUCUUUUUUUAGUUUGUAAGCCUGCGGGCACUUGUUUAUUUUAAGACCUGUUAUCCCCUUGCUCAUGUUUUAAUUCCGUAUGAACUGUACCUAUAUGGGAUGUUUUUAAUGAAAAAGGGUGCUUGCCGGGUUCUUUGUGCGUGAGCGAGGCCCAUGCCAAGGAUGAAUCCUUGUUAUUUUUAAUAUAAACAUGUCGCCCGGCAACAGGCCUUGCCAUCUCCCCACUUCGGUCGACCAUUCUCGCGCUCUUGGCAGAGGCACGGGCGAAGUAGAGUUAGGCCCCUCGUUCAUCUCCUCGCCACCGCGACUACUACCAAAUUCCGACCCAGGAGGUAACUCUUGGGUACAAGAAAGGGGGAGCACGGUGGUUUCAAGGACAUAAACGAGGUUUCACGUGUCCCAGUUCUAUACGGAAACGCAUAACAGGGGGAUGAAAGACUUAUCUGAAUCCACAACCCCCGGCAACCUUGGCUUACCGUGGUUGGAUCAUUGUAUCUUCAGCCCCGACAGUCUUGGCUUGCUGGGGCCGGAGCACCGGUUCGUUCUCUUUUUCCCAAGCGGCUCAGCAGAAGUGUCUGCGUGCCCUGCGAACCAAAGAGAACAGAGAGACGCACACUCGACCUCUUGGCUAGGGGUUAGUCUCCGCUAAGCACUAUCAACCCUAACCGAGGGAAAGACUUGACCUAGCAUGCAUGCUAUAACUUAGGGUGCCAGCGCUUCAUUUAUUUAUGCUCAGGGUCUGCGCCUGGCUUUGUACAGAGGGUUACAUGCCAUGCCGGCAAGGCUCACACAAAAGGUGGUCCACCGGGAAGCCCGACAACUGUACCUUAUGGGUAAAACUUGCGAAGAUGUUUGAUGUUCCAGGAAUUGCUUAAUGGGACAACAUCUUUGGUCUCCAGGCAGACAACGCCGAGCCUGGUGACUCGUAUUACCCAAUAAGGGCCUUCCCACUUUGGCGUCAACUUGUUGGAAUUCUUGGACGAUUGAACGCGCCGAAGAACAAGGUCGCCUUCCUCAGAGCUUCAGGCAUGGACCUUGCGGCUAUGGUAGCGGCGCAAGGCUUGCUGGUAGCGUGCUGCUCUCACAGCUACCCGAAGACGAUCUUCCUCAAGGAGCGUUGCGUCAUCUUGCCGCAAUCACUCUUGCUCAAGCUCAUCAUAAGCGAGCACUCGAGGUGACCCGUAUAUGAGUUCCGUGGGGAGAACUGCUUCUGCCCCGUAUACCAGGGCAAAAGGUGUCUGGCCGGUGGUUCGAUAUGGCCUCAUCCUGAUUGACCAAAGAACCGCCGGCAGUUCAUCAAUCCAGCGCCUUCCGCUUUUGUACAGCCUGUCAAAAGUAUUGUUCUCAGGCCCUGCAGUACUUCAGCAUUUGCCCUCUCCACCUGGCCGUUGCUCCAUGGGUGUGCCACGGAAGCAAAACAGACCUUGCUAUCGAGGUCUUGAGUGUACUGCAUGAAGGCGUGGCUUGUGAACUGUGUGCCGUUGUCGGUGAUGACUCUGUUUGGCACACCAAAACGGCAGACAAGUCCCUUGAAGAACUUGACGGCUGACUGUGCUGUCACCUUCCUUACUGCUUCCACUUCCGGCCAUUUUGUGAACUUGUCGAUUGCAACCUACAAGUACUCAAAGCCCCCGACAACAUGGGGGAAAGGGCCCAGUAUGUCGAGCCCCCAGACAAAAAACGGCUAGGAGAGAGGAAUUGUUUGAAGGGCUUGAGCUGGUUGAUGAAGCUUCUUUGAAUGGAACUGGCACGGUUCACACCUGGUUACUAGUGUCGUUGCAUCCUGGAGGGCGGUGGGCCAGAAGAAGCCUUGCCGGAAUGCUUUGUUGGCAAGGGCCCUUGACCCUAUGCGGGAGCCACAUAUGCCUGCAUGUAUCUUUGCCAACAGCUCCAGUCCUUCCUCCCAGGGGAUGCACUUCAAUUUUACACCAUUCGAUCUUUUUCUGUACAGGACGUCAUCGACGAACUGGUACAAGGUAGACCGAUGGACUACUUUUUCUGCUUCUUCCUGCUCUUCAGGAAGUUCCCCUGUCUGGAGGAAGCGGACGGUAUGUUGUUCCCAUGCCGGAGCUUGGGGCUCGACGGCAAGGACCAAAGGCAUUUCUUCCGCCAUGGGGGCGGCCGUCUCUACGGCCAGGGCUUCGCGCCCUGCCAGAGCCGGCUUCCCCUUGGCAGGCUCGGAAUCCGCGGCAACACUCUCACCGGCGGCCCCUGGGGGCUCGGCAGGAAAGUACUUGCCGGGGCUCGAUUUCCUCCGCUUGUUCCGCUCCGUAUACGGUUCGACGGAUGGUUGAGUUAGCCGAAGCAAAAAGGUACUUGGUUCCACAGGUAGCUUGAAUGCAGCGCGCUUCGACAGGUAGUCAGCGAUGUCGUUCUCCACUCAGGGAAUGUGAUCCGCUUGAAUACCGUCGAAGUGCUCCUCCAGCUUCCUCACCUCAUCUACGUAGGACUCCGUCAACAGGCUCUGGUAAUCUUUGUUGACAUGUCUGACGACAAGCUGCGAAUCACCCCUGACGAUGAGCUUCUUCACCUCGAGGUCUGCCGCGAUCCUGAGACCGGCGAGCAGCCCCUCGUACUCAGUAGUGUUUUUUGUGGAUAUCUCCCUAGGAAAGUGCAUCUAGAUCACAUACUUGAGGUGCUCCCCGGUGGGUGCGACAAGCAGCACACCGGCACCGACGCCUUGCAGUGAGAAAGCCCCAUCAAAGUACAUGAUCCAGUCAUGACUUGCCUCCUUGCCGGGGAGAGCGGUCUCCUGGAUUUCCUCGUCGGGCAUUGAGGUCAAUUCUGCAAUGAACUCCGCCAAGACUCUGCUCUAGAUUGUGGAAGUACUUUCAAACUUCAACCCAAAGCUUGACAACUCCAAGGCCCACUCCACAAUCCUUCCGGUCGCAUCUGGGUUGUGUAGUAUCCGUUGCAACGGGAGGAGGAUGACGACAAUAAUCUCAUGGGCUUGGAAGUAAUGAUGUAGCAAUUUCUGCACACGAGAGUACCUUGACCUGCCCCCUGCAAGAGGGAGCUGACAAAGUAAACUAGGUGCUGCAUCAUCUUCUUCUUCUGCACCACUUCACUUGGCUGCGCGGGCCCUUCCCCGAUGGCGUUGGAUUCUGCCAGGGGCCUUGCCUUGCCGGCACCAGGCCCUGCCGGGUGAAUCCCUGACUUGCCAUCCGCCGGUCCUGCCAUGGCCACUGUCUCUUCGUCGACCUCUCUCUAUGCCACUAGUGCGGCGCUGACCACUUGAUUCGUUGCCGCUAGAUACAGCAGCAACGGCUCUUAUGGUUUAGGCGCAACCAGUAUUAGCGUGGAGGAAAGUUAUUUCUUCAGAUCCUGCAAUGCCGCCUUGGCCUCUGGGGUCCACUCCAUUGGGCAUGCCUUCUUCAAGAUUUUGAAAAAGGGAAGGGCACGUUCAGUAGAGUUGGAGAAGAACCUAGUCAUGGCGGCAACGCAGCCAGUGAGCCGGCGCACAUCCUUGAUCCACUUGGGUGCCUCAAUCUGCUAAAUAGCCUUGAUCUUGUCUGGGUUUGCCUCGAUCCCACACUGUGACACAAAGAACCGGAGAAGUUUUCCUGACGGGAUGCCAAAGACACACUUCUCAGGGUUCAGCUUGAGGUUGAUCUUGCGUAGGUUGGCAAACGUCUCUCCUAGGUCUUGUACAAGGGUCACCUUGUCUUUGGUUUUGACCACUAUGUCGUCCAUAUAUGCUUCCAUAUUUCUAUGUAGCUGGGGUUCAAAACCAAUCUGGACCGCCCUUGCAAAUGUCGAGCCAGCACUCUUCAACUUGAAAGGCAUCCAUAAAAAGCAAUACGUACCACAUGGGGUGAUAAAGGCCUUCUUCUCUUCAUCUUCUCUUGCCAUGAUGAUCUGGUGGUAGCCCGAGUAGGCAUCGAGGAAUGACAAUAGAUCACACCCGGCCGUGGAGUCAACAAUUUGGUCGAUGCGCGACAACGGGAAGGGGUCCUUAGGACAAGCCUUAUUGACAUCCGUGUAGUCAAUACACAGCCUUCACUUCCCAUUUGCCUUGCGCACCACCACCGGAUUGGCCAACCACGUCGGAUGGAGCACUCCUCUCACCAACCCUGUCGCUUCGAAUUUCCUGAUCUCCUCUCUGAUGAACUCUUGUCAUUCCAAAGCUUGCUUCCUGACCUUCUGCUUGACGGGUCAUGCAUGGGGACAGACAACAAGGUGGUGCUCAAUCACUUCCUUGGGAACGCCGGGGAUGUCGGAUGCUUGCCAUGCAAACACAUCGAAAUUCGCCCACAGGAAAGUGAUGAGCGCGCUUUCCUAUUUGCUGUCGAGGGUGGAGCUUGUAGUGAAAGCCCCUCCCGUGCCAUCCUCCUUGAUGGACACCUUCUUGGUCUCUGGUGGUGCAGCUUUGGAUUUCUUGCUCUUGCCGGUAGAGCUCUCGGGCACGUCCUCGAUGCUAGCACAGCACUCCAAAGAUGUGCACUUGCCGGAGUGGGUGCGAGAGCUCUUGCGGGUCUUCUUCUUCCCUCCCGGGGCUUCAACGGCAGGAGCAGGUGCCUUGGCUGCAGCUGCUACAACUGCUUCUGGAUAGAGUUGGUCACCCAGAUCAGCGCAUCCCUUCUUAUCGGAAGGGACGAUGAUGAUGGUCAUCGGCCCGGGCAUCUUCAGCGUAUUGUAGGCGUAGUGCGCCGCCGCCAUGAACUUGGCUAGUGCCGGGUGGCCGAGGAUCCCGUUGUAGGGCAAGGGGAUCUCGGCCACAUCAAAGACGAGGGGAUAAGGGUAAGGAUCCCGUUGUAGGUCAUGUAGUUCAACUCACCUCCAAAUGUCACGGGCAAUGUGACCUUCCCCUUCGGCUGGCUCCUUCCCAGACUGACCCCUUGGAACGUACCCGUUUCCUCAAGGUCUCCAUCAGGAAUUUGCAGCCUUUUGAUCACGACGGGCGAGAUCAAGUUCAGGAUGGCCCCGCCAUCAACCAGCAUCUUGUUCACCUUGAGGUUGCGUAUCGUUGGUGAGACCAAUGACGGUAAACACCUGACAGCAGUUGUGCGGUCAGGGUGGUCCUCGGCGUCAAAGAUGAAGGGUGUGCUGGACCACUUCAGUGGCUUCUGAGCAUCGAACGAUGGCUCUACUGCUGUAAUCUCAUGCGCCCACUGCUUGAGCUGGUGGUGAGAAGUGUGCAGCGAGGCGCCACCAUCGACGCACAUGGCCUCCGUAGCCUUCUGGAACUCAUGCUCACCGGACUCGUCGUCCUCGUCACGAUCAUCGUCUUCCUGCUUCUUGUGGCGGCCCCGGGCGGGCCUCUCUUGCAGGUUAUCCUUGCCGCGGCGACCUCGUUGGCCGCCACGCUUCUUGCCGGAUCCUUCGGCACCAUCCCGACCCUUCUCCUUGUCCCGGCUAUCGUAUUCGGAUUUUUGCUUUUCAGCAAGCAGCUUAACUUGUCGGCAGUUCUGGAGGUCAUUGCCCUUGGUGCGGUGGAUCUUGUAGUAUUGCUUGUUAGAGCCCCCUGGCUUGUCGGCAGCUGCCAAGGCCCGGCAAGUGGCGCACCCGACAAUCUCCUUGCCGGGGUCGUCUGCCUUGGCCUUCUUGGCGGCGCUGGUGUCGCCGGAUCCCUCGACGGCAAGCACGGUCUUGUCCUUGCAUUUCCUAUUGCGAUGCCGGCCCUUCUUCGUUGGUGUGGCGGUGUCUUCGCCGGUAGAGUCGGUUUCUGCACCGGCAUCUUCGCCGGGGUACUUCCUUCCCUCUUCUGCCCAGGUGCAUCUAUCGGCCAGAACCUAAAGUUCGGCCACGUCCUUGACCUUGUUCAUUGCCAGCUCUUUACGCAUCUUGCGGUUAUGCACAUUCUGAUGGAAUGCGCUGAUCACGGCGGCAGGAUGAACAAUGAUGUUGUAUUGCACUCGGUUAAACCUCUGUAUGUACUUGUGCAUGUUUUCACCUUCCUUCUGGGGAAUGAUAUGCAAAUCACUCGCCUGGCCAUGAGCCUGGUGGCCUCCAGUGAAGGCACCAACAAACUCGUGUCACAGAUCUGACCAAGAAGAAAUGGAAUCCACCGGCAAGUGCAUCAACCAAGACAUGACAUUGGGUUUCAGGGCCAACGGGAAGUAAUUGGCAAGAACCUUGUCGUCACGAGCUCCAGCGGCUUGCGUAGCGAUGGUGUAGAUGCCGAGGAACUCUGACGGGUGGGUCUUGCCAUCAUACUUCUCGCCGACGUCGGGCUUGAACAUGCGGUGGGACGGCCACUUCGACUGCCGCAGCUCAUGGGUAAAGGCUGGGCAACCCACCUCGUAAGGUAGGCCGCCGGAGCCUCCCGGUGCUGGGUGGUCCAUAGCGGGCCCCGCCCGCCUGUUUGACUGAUGGCGCAUAUCGCACCGGCGCUCGAUGGUGGUUCGAGCGUCUUCAUGGGCUCGCUCCUGAAGAACCUAGCGUUGAUCGCGGCGGGUCCGUGGGUCGGACGGCGCUAUGGAAAUGUCAUCACAAGCGUCAUUGCGACGGAUCGACAUCCGCGGUUGAUGGCAUGGAGGAGGCGAGUGCACCAUGGCCGCGGCACUCCAGCCUCUCCACGGCCAGCAUGCAGUGGCUCAAUGGAGCGCCGGCCUGAGGGCCCAGGCCGGUCAUGGCUCUUCUUUGUUGGCGAUGCCGACGAGGCUCCGGAUAGUGGAUCUCCACUCGUCGAGCUUCUCUGCGACGGGAGGGAAGUUGAGGAGCAGCUAUGCGCGCGCCAAGGCUUCUGCUGGUGUGGGCGGCGGUGAAAGCUGCAUGGACCGUGGUGCGGUUCGGCUUCUAACCACGUUAGAAGGUGCUCUGUCACGGCCCAGCGGCUGUGUGCCGUCCUCGCCAGCACUUCGGCGGGCAUGAUGGCUUCCUUCGUCCGCGGAUGACGCACAUGACUCUUCCCACGGCGGCGUCCAGGGUCACCGGCGUGGUGACGCUGCUCGUCGCGCACAACCUGGGAAGAGCGCGAUGUGGGCGCUGGAGUGGGCGUCUUGGAGGUCACCGCGCCGCCCGGGGGUGGUACGGCGAUGCCCUUGGAGGGUCCCGCGCCGUCUACGGGGGCCCAGCUCCAUCUCUGGAUUUUGUGGCGUGUAGCCCGUCGCCUUGCGCACGAACGACGCCGCUCGCCAGGCUCUGACUUCCAGAGCGAUGUUGGUGCUCGCGGGUCGCGCCUCGGGUUCUAUCCGCGACUGGCCCGCUGCUCGCCCGCACCGGUACAGGCCGUCCGGCUCCCGACGAACCGACCGCCGUGGCCACCUUCUUCUUGGGAGCCAUGGCGACGAAGAACUUCUAGGCUAUCUGCUAGACCAGAUUCCCACAACUGCGGGCCCCUACCUGGCAUGCCAAAGAUGUCAGUGGGAACAACACCUAUGGGAUCCCUUCUAUGGUCGGCGGGCGCGGGGUCGUGAGGAGAGCCGGUCUAGGAGCAAGCACACGAGUCGUUUACCCAGGUUCGGGCUGCGAGGACGCGUAAAACCAUAGUCCUGCUUUGGUGGAUGCAUUAAGUGUUCUUGAGCUUUCCGAACUAGCUAGCUGUCUCGUUCCAAAAAGCCGAAUCCUUCUCCUGGUAGCCUCGGGCCUCCUUUUAUAGGAAAAAAGGGGCUGCCAUAGUGGCACACAGGAGGUGGAAAGGCCUAUAGUGCAUGAGCUUAUCGCACGACAUUAUAGGACAAAGCGCAUUAAAUGCACUACGUAGGUGUCCAUUAGCUUUAUCGGGGACGGGAAUGAGGCCCGUCCCGUCCGUCGCCGCUUUGCCUCGCUUCAACACGCGCCUAGGCCGGCGAUGCAUGCAGCGCCACGCCUUGGCAAGGAUCUUGCCAAGGGAGUCCACCUCGCCCUCUCGCCCUCCCGUGCUUCCGGUCUUGGCGUCGCCUUGGUCGUCUCGUGCUUUGGCUUCUCUCUGGCUUCCCUCCUCUGCCCUGCUAAGUGUGGCCGCGACGCGUGGCUCUGACUGCCUGUGCACAAGUAAAGGGGUCAAAAGGAGAGCCCCUACUUUUGUACACCUACACUUUUCAUCUACUCCAAGGUCUUUUGACUUGGAGUCCAAGUCCAACAGGUGUCUUCUGGUCCAAGAAAAAUCAUCACGAAAGUUUUAUUCCGUUUGGUAUUCCUUUUCUGCGAAGCUCAAAAACAAGGAAAAACUAAAACUGGCACUAGGCUCUAGGUUAAUAGGUUAGUUCCAAAAAUAAUAUAUAAUAUCAUAUUAAUGCAUAUAAAACAUCCAAAACAGAUAAUAUAAUAGCAUGGAACAAUCAAAAAUUAUAGAUACGUUGGAGACGUAUCAGCCUACCUUUCCCGCGGAGUACAUCAGUGAAGCACGGUGGUUAGCUAGUUGGGCUAGUGCGACCGAUUAGCUAGGCCGCUGCCACAUUUGUUUUUACCCCUUUUUUCUCUCCUUGCUAGUAGGUAAAUUUAAAUAUCCACUGCAGCAUUGCUCUGGUCUUUGGGUGUGGUAGGCGCGAUAGGAUUUUUAUUUUUUUGAUUGAUGAGAGUAGGCGCGGCAGCAAUUAGUCAUGAUGACUCCGCCUGUAAAACCCGCUGCUCCCUGAUGUGAAAAGUCAUCGACUAGUGUUUUCCCAUGGUGAAAACCUAAAGAUUCACCCCACUCCUCGGCUGGCUCUCUCCGCCUUCCCAUAGAUUGCAUUGUCUUUCAGCCGUUUCUCCCCCUUUGAUUCCUCUCUCCAUUGCUUCUACCUGGUUCCAUGGUGGCGCACCAGAUCACGAAAUAUGAGGUGGGGCGCCUGACAUGGGCGCUCCAGGCCAAGGAUGCGGAGCUCAGGGCCAAGGACGUGGAGCUCCUCCUUUAUGUGCGUGAGUUCAUGGAGCUUCAAAAGCGGCAGGCGUCCACCACAAAGAUGCUCGAGGCAUCGGCGACGUUGCUGUAGAAAGCGGGAGAUAUAUUAGGCGGUGAGGCAAGCCGGUUGGAGCGCGAGCGGGCCGAUCGUGACGAGGUCCAAGAUCACCUCAACCACUUGGUGGACCAUGUUGCCAUGCAUGUGUUGCGGCUGCGCGAUGCCUACCGUCAUGCCAGCGCGACCAUGCCGGCCGUCGGGCUAAACCCAUUCGACCACCCCAUCGACUUCAAUGACCUGGGGCUUCCUGACUUGGUCUCCUUCUUCACCUAUAUCUCUGAGGAGCUGAGCCAUCUCCGUGUGAUGGUGGGGGCGGAGCUGGACAAGGAGGGGCUGUGGGCGGCUGUCGCCGUUGCUGGACGAAUCCUCUCACGACUUCGUCACCGGAAUCCAUUCGUGCCAUUGGACGCCGUCCUUGACGAGCCGACUCUUGUCGACCGGGAGCGGGCUCCGCGGGCGGUGGCACCCUACAUCAUUGACGUCGUGCACCUCAAGAAGCAGAGGGACUUUAGUGGUCUUAAGGCAUCCUCUGCAUGGGCAUGUCUCGGUGCAACAUGACCGUUGGAUAAAACUCAGACAAUGGAGACUAGUCACUAUAGCACAAAGCGUGCGGGUGUGUUUGGUUGCAUUCUCAUCUCAAUAUAGUUGUUCCCUCCUCAUGCAUGCUCAUCUCAGCACCCCUCUUCAUGCAUGGUCUGCAUGCUCCAAGUGUAUUUGUGUUAACCACUAGUGUGGACUCAUGCACCCUUCAUGCACUCUACCAAACACCCAAAAGUGCGUCGAGAAGGGAACUUUUGCUCCCAUGCACCCUUCAUACACCCUACCUAACACUGAUUCGUGCUCCAUAUGGUUCAUGUUCCAUGGAGUACUGUAGCACCGUACUCUCCAUGCGCUGUAGACCUAGUUCACCUAGUUCUAUUAACAUUGAUCUCACCGUUCAUUCUCGACCGGACAGUCAAAAAAAGGGCAUGUUACAUUACUAUUCAUAUAGUUGACGUGCACACAACAUCAUUUUUUAUCGUCAUAUCUUACUACACUAGCAACAAGAUUAUACUCCCUCCAUUCCUAAAUAUAAGUCUUUUUGCUGAUUUCAAAUGGACUACCUCAUACGGAUGUCUAUAGACAUAUUUUAGAGUGUAGAUUCACUCAUUUUGCUUUGUAUGUAGUCACUCGUUGAAAUCUGUAGAAAGACAAAUGUUUAGGAACAGAGGGAGUAGUACUGACAUAUGAAGCACUACACAUGCCUAGUAUAGUAGGAGUACGGUGUAAGUUCAAGUGGCUGCUGUGUUUCGCACUCCUCCAUCAUAAGAGUGGAAACACUUGCUAUAAUCAUUUUUUAGAAACAGUGGACACACUCUACCGUGUAGAUCCUCCUUGACGGUCAUUAGGAACCUUGCUACUCACUUUCCCCGACGUGUGGCACAACCAGCAUCGGGGGCCACUUGAACUUACACAGUACUCCUUGUGUUGGAUGCCUUGGGUUGUGGUGUUGAUCUUGAUCAUGUAGUUGAACUUGUGUUGGAUGCUCACGGUUGAUGUAGUCCAUCAAGAGCUGGAAGCAUCCUUUGGAGUUGAAGUUCAUCUUCCUACAUGGGUUAGUCUUGCAAGGAAUAACACUUGUGUAUCCAAAUUGAUAAUCAUGAAAUUUAACAUAUAGAUGUUGUCAAAGGAUAUGUGAAGUAAGUUUAUGCUUCCUUAUCCUCAACAACCAAAGCAUAGAUACUUGGCAAUGUAGAGACUGCUCAAGAUGUGAGUGAUUUGAAAUCUCAUAGAUUGAGUCUCAUCCAAGUACCUACAAGGGUUAGAUAACACACAAGGGUGCAAAUAUAUCCAAGAUAAAUAGUCAACGUCAUAAGAGAAACAUCAAGGAUUAGUCACAUAGGCUCAUGCCUUGCAUGUAUGCAAGGAGUCUCUACUCCAAAUUUGAGGCAUCAAUGAUAUUCAAUUCACAUCUCAAAUGACAAAAUAUCUUUUCAUCAAGCGGUUUAGUGAAGAUAUCCGCCAAUUGCUUGUUGGUACGAAGAUGCUUAAGAUUGAUAUCUCCCUUAGCAACAUGAUCAUGCAUGAAAUGAUGACGAACUUCAAUAUGUUUAGUUAGAGAAUGUUGCACGGGAUUGUGAGCAAUCUUAAUGACACUCUCAUUGUCGCAAAGCAAUGUAACAUGUUUCACAUGUAUCCCAUAAUAUUUAAGAGUUUGGGUCAUCCAAAGUAAUUGAGCACAACAUGAUCCGGCGACAAUGUAUUCCGCUUCCGCGAUGGAUAAGGAUACCAAAUUUUGUUUCUUGGAGGACCAACAGACAAGGGAUCUACCAAGAAAUUGACAUGUACCCAAAGUGGACUUUCUAUCAACCUUGUCACCGGCAUAGUCCGAGUCGGAAUAGCCAACAAGAUCAAAAGGUGACCUCUUAGGAUACCAAAUGCCAAAGUUUGGUGUAUGAACUAAAUAUCUCACUAUCAUUUUCAUGGUCUUAAGAUGACAUUCAUUAGGGGCCGCCUGAUAUCGCACACACAUGCACACACUUAGCAUAAUAUCGGGACGGGAGGCACAUAGAUAUAAUAAUGAACCAAUCAUAGAUCGGUAAACUUUUUGGUCAACUGGGUUGCCAUCCUUAGUCAAGUCAAUAUGUCCACUAGUAGGCAUGGGUGUUUUCAUACCUUUGCUUUCUUACAUAUUCAACUUCUUGAAAAGAUCCUUGGUAUACUUUGUUUGUGAUACAAAGGUACCUUCCUUGGUUUGCUUGAUUUGCAAUCCAAGGAAAAAAUUUGAGUUCACUUAUCAUAUACAUCUCUAACUUCUCCAACAUUAGCCUUCCAAACUUUUCACUAAAAUGGGGGUUAGUAGAACCGAAUACGAUAUCAUCCACAUAAAUUUGGCACACAAAUAGUUCUCCAUUAACCCUUUUAGUAAAAAGAGUAGAAUCAAUUUUCCCAAUUUCAAAGCCUUUUUAAAUAAGAAACUUGGUCAAGCAUUUAUACCAAGCUCUAGGGGCUUGUUUAAGACCAUAAAGAGCUUUAUGAAGUUUGUAAACAUGAUUAGGUUUCUUGCGAUUAACAAAGCCGGGAGGUUGUUUAACAUAAGUGUCCUCUUCUAUUUCACCAUUUAGAAAAGCACUUUUAAUGUCCAUUUGGUAUAGACUGAUAUCAUGGUGAUUGGCAUACGCAAGUAAAAUACAAACAGACUCAAGUCUAGCAACGGGGGCAUAUGUCUAACCAUAGUCCAUACCUUUGACUUGAGUGUAGCCUUGAGCAACAAGACAGGCCUUGUUGCAUACAACUUGUCCAUCUUCAUCUUGCUUACUCCGAAAUACCCAUUUGGUUCCAAUGACAUUAUGAUCACCGUUGGGCUUUUCAACCAAUGUCCUAAUGCGGCUUGAAACUGCGUUGGUAUUUCCCCAAAGAGGAAGGGAUGAUGCAGCAUAGCUAUGGUAGGUAUUUCCCUCAGUUAUGAAACCAAGGUAUCAAUCCAGUAGGAGGACCAAGCAACACUUUGUAAACAAUACCUCCACACAAAGAACAAAUAGUUGCAACCCAACGCGUAAGAGGGGUUGUCAAUCCCUCCUCGGUAAAAAGAUAAAUUGUUUUGUGAUAGAUUGGAUAAAUAGAUCUCGAUAAAACGUAAAAUAAAAUAAAGAAAGAAAAAGUGCAGCAAGGUAUUUUUGGGUUUUUGGAAAUAUACAUCUGAAAAUAAAUAUGGAAAAAGAUAGAUCGUAAAGAAAAUAUGAUAGAAGAUAGACCUGGCCGGGGGUCGUAGAUUUCACUAGUGGCUUCUCUCGAGAAAUAGCACACGAUGAGUAAACAAAUUACUGUUGAGCAAUUGAUAGAAGAACAAAUAAUUAUGAUGAUAUCCAAGGUGACGAUCAAUAUAUAGGCAUCAUGUCCAAGAUUAGUAGACUGACUCCUACCUGCAUCUACUACUAAUACUCCUCACAUCGACCGCUAUCCAGCAUGCAUCUAGUGUAUUAAGUUCAUGGAGAAACAGAGUAAUGCAAUAAGAACGAUGACAUGAUGUAGACAAGAUCUAUUCAUGUAGUAAUAGACCCCAUCUUGUUAUCCUUAAUAGCAAUGAUACAUGCGUGCCUUGUUGCCCCUUCUGUAACUGGGAAAGAACACCGCAAGAUCGAACCCAUCACAAAGCACCUCUUCCCAUCGCAAGAAAAAUCAAUCUAGUUGGCCUAACUAAACCAAAGAUUCAAAGAAGAAAUACGAGGUUAUAAAUAAUCAUGCAUAUAAGAUAUCAAAGAAGACUCAAAUAAUAUUCAUGGAUAAAAAUCUGAUCAUAAACUCGAACUUCAUUGGAUCCCAACAAACACACCACAAAAACUCAUUACAUCAAAUAGAUCUCCAAGAGACCAUUGUAUUGAGAAAAAAGAGAGAAGAAGCCAUCUUGCUAAUCCCUACGGACCCAUAGGUAUAUGGUCAACUACUCACGUAUCAUUGGAGAGGCACCAAAGAGGAUGAUGAACCCCUCCAAGAUCGUGUUCCCCUCUGGCAGAGUGCCGAAAUAGAGCUCUAGAUUGGAUCUCGUGGUUCUAGAACUUGCGGCGGCUGGAAUUGUGUUUCAUCGACUCCCCUAGGGUUUCUGGAAUACUUUGGAAUUUAUAGGGCGAAGAGGCGGUGCAGGAGACCCCCAUGGGCCCCACAACCCACCAGAGCGCGCCUGGGCCUCCUGGUGCGCCCUGGUGUCUUAUGGUCCCCACGGGCCUCCUUCCAUGUGCUUUCUUGACCCUCAAGGUUUCUUCUGGUCCAAAAAAAUCUCCAAAAAUUUUCACUGCGUUUGGACUCCGUUUGAUAGGGAUAUUCUACGAAGCAAAAAAACAAGCAAAAAAUAGUAGCUGACAUUGGGCACUAUGUCAAUAGGUUAAUCCCAAAAAAAUGAUAUGAAGUUACUAUAAAAUGAUUGUAAAACAUCUAAGAUUGAUAAUAUAACAGCAUGGAACAAGCAAAAAUUAUAGAUACGCUGGAGACAUAUCAUGUCCACACUUGAUUCCUCACGAAAUUGUGUAGCACUUUGUGCAUAGCAUUUAUCCAAUCCGGAUCCUCAAGGGCUUCUUCUACCUUCAUAGGUUCAACACUAGAAAUGAAUGAGUAGUGUUCACAAAAUUUAGCCAAACGAGUUUUAGAGCGAGUGGUUCUCCCAGUUUGGAUGUCAUCGAAGAUUUGUUCGACGGGAUGAUCUUUCUGAGACUCUUGCUUUAACUCAUGAGAGCUUUUGCUUGGGUUGAGGUGGAACAUCCUCCUCCUCAUCUUCUUCUUCAUUGUUGGUGGCAUUGUCAUUUUCUUGUGGAUGUGGAGAAGGAGGUCGAGGUAUCUUGUUGUACUUCCUCAUUUCCUUCGUCUUGACGUGUUCCACUUGUGGAUGCCUCCAAGACAACUUGUGGUUCACCUUGAUGUGAAGUUGAGGCUUCCACUUGAAUGGAUGAGGUACUCUCCUUCACCUCCAUUGGCCGAAUUUUGCCGAUAGACAAAUCUUGAAUUGCUUCCGAGGGAUCUUUAUCUCCUAAAUCAAUUGGCAAUUGCUCUACUUGCGGGCCGUUAGAUUUAGGGCUGGAAAAAAGCUCGAAGCUCGCGAGCUAAAUGAGUAGCUCGUAACUCGGCUCGAAUCGACUUGAAUUCAAAGAAUAAUGAGCCAAGCUGAGCUUUAGUUUAAGUUCGUUUACAAACCAAGUUAAAUGAGCCGAUCUCAUGAGUACUCGUGUAACUCAUUAGGUUUGGUAAAAAAAUUAGUGUUUUUUAGGGGUAGUAAAAUACAGCCACUAAACACCUUGCAUCCCGACACAAGGCCCAACCGCUCAAGGCCGAGCCACUCAGGAGACUCACACAUACAUGACCACAUAUGCACAUGCUAAAUCGUAAGUUAAUCUUUUUAUCGCAUUUGUAAGGUCCGAUGUUCAUAUCUUUAACGAGCUUAACAAGCUAAACGAGCUAGCUCGUGAGUUAUACGAGUCAAGCCAAUCUUGGAUUUGAGCUCCUUAUAGUAACGAGUCGAGUCGAGCUAGCUCGUUAAUGAAAUGAGCAUUAGCGAGUCGAGUCGAGCUGGCUUGACUCGGCUCGAAUUCCACCCCUAGUUAGAUUCAUCAAACUUCACAUCUACCAUCUCUUCAACCUUUUGGGUGAAAUUGUUGUAGAUACGGUAAGUGCGAGAGUUCGAGCCAUAACCGAGUAGGAAACCUUCGUGAGAUUUAGCAGCAAAUUUUGAACGAUGAUGCUUAUCAAGAAUGUAGCACUUUGAGCCUAAUACUCGAAACUAUCCAACUUGGGGUUUGUUACCGUUGAGUAGCUCGUAUGUCGUUUUGCCGACAAGCUUGUGAAGAUAUAGUCGAUUCAUAGAAUGACAAGCUGUCUCAACUGCUUCGCCUAAAAAUGUCUUGACGUUUUGUACUCAUCAAGCAUCAUUCUCACCAUCUCAAUAAGUUUUCAGUUCUUCCUUUCAACAUUUUCCUUCUUGAACUCUGUUCCAUUAUCACUUUGAACCUUCUUGAUCUUCACUUAAAAUUGGUUUUGGUCCUUCUUGGCGGAGUUCUUGAUGAUCAUUUGGACCUGCGAUUUGAUUUGGACCCAUGAUUUGUCAUCAAUAAAGAACACCCAUGUAAAUCUUGAAAAAUCAUCAACAAUUGCCAAAUCGAAAGAGUUACCACCAAGGCUCUUAUAAGCAUUGUGACCGAAAAGAUCCAUGUGAAGUAGCUAAAGUGGUCUCCUCAUGGUCAUGAUGUUCUCCACGGGAUGACUUCCUCCAACUUGUUUUCGUACUUGACAAGUGCUACAAAGUCUAUCCUUGUCAAAUAUAACAUCUUUAACACCAAGGAUAUGAUCAACUUUAAUAAGCUUAUCAAGAUUUCGCAUGCCCACAUGACCUAACCUUCUAUGCCACAACCAUCCUUUAGAAGAUUUAGCAAUUAAGCAAGUACGAGGUUGGGCUCUCUUAGUGAAAUCAACAAUAUAUAGGUCACCUCUACGGAUACCAGUAAAGACCAUGUUAUGAUUAUCCCUACGAAACACUUAGCAAUCUACUUCGGUAAAUAGAAAAUUGAAACCAAAGUCAGCUAGUCUAGAUACGAAAAGAAGAUUGUGACCAAGAUAUUCAACGAGCAUAACAUUUUGGAUAGAGCUAUAAUUGGAAAUGGCUACCUUACCCUUGGAGUUGUCUUCAAAAGUUACAUACUUGCGUGGGCCGUCGUUUUUAGCAACCUCACGGAACAUGUCCUUAUCUUCGGUCAUAUGAUCAGUACAUCCACUAUCGAGAAUACACUCUUUUCCUCCGGCCAUGUAAUCACGGAAGUUUGCCAUGAGACUAAGAUUUCUCAUAGUCUCCUAAAACUCAAUGUCACUAUCUUCGUCUUCAUCAUAAUAGCCAUGUUUAAUGUCAACGUCAUCAUGUAUGUGAUCAUCACCUAGAGCAAGUGAUUCAUUAGAUUUAUGACCACGACAAUGUUCAAUUUUACGAAUUCUAAUUGUCUCUGAGAUGAUGCUACUAAUGAUUCCAACAUUUCCUUUAGCAUACAUGAGACCAUAGAGCUCAAAUAGACAUUCAUCAAACUCGGGAUCACUAGGUUCCAUUUUUUGAAAAUCAAUGGAUUUUUUAAGAAUCUCAUCUUGAUUUUUCAAGGAAUAAUUUGGAAAGUGUUCUUCAAGAUAAUUCCAUAUAGUAUAUGCACAUUCAAAAGUAGGCGAGCACACGGGCAAAUUUCUAGGCAAUCCUCUAAUGAUAAGAUCAACAAUCCUAAUAUUGCAAACCAUAUCAAGAUACUCAUCGGGGGUCGGAUGCAAGGGGUCAAUAGGAGGCACAUAAGGGCUAAGAAUAUACUUGUUCAAAUUAUAUUCAUUGAAAACCUCAAGCAUCUCAUUUUUCUAAGAACCAUAGAACUCCCCAUCAAGAAUAGGCACUCUAUGUCUAAUACUCCCAAACGUAGACUCAUCCAUCUUCCUCCAAUAGCGAUUAAACCAAAGCAAUGGAGACCAAAGCCCUGAUACCAAUUGAAAGGAUAGAGAAGAGGGGUCUAGAGGGGGGUGAUUAGACCCUUAACAAGCAAAAGUGGCAAUUUUUAUUUUCUUCAAGUUAAGGUGGAGUUUAGCACAUAUUAAGGCACACACAAUACAUUUCAAGCAAGCAUGACAAGAGUUUAGGCAAAAGAAAGAGUAAAGCAUGCAAUUUGCAAGAAAGUAAAGGGAUGGGAUUGGAGUGUGCAAACGCAAUGGAGACACGGAAUUUUGUGUGUGGUUUCGAUAGGUGGUGUUAUCGUACGUCCACAUUGAUGGAGACUUCAACUCAUGAAGGGUAACAGUUGCACGAGUCCAUGGAGGGCCCCACCCACAAAGGGUCCACGAAGAAGCAACCUUGUCUAUCUCACCAUGGCCAUCGCCCACGAAGGACUUGCCUCACUUGGGUAGAUCUUCAUGAAGUAGGCGAUCUCCUUGCCAUUACAAACUUCUUGGUUCAACUCCACAUCACAACAAAGGCUCCCAAGCGACACCUAACCAAGAGACACCUCUCUCCAAAAGGUAAUAGAUGGUGUGUAGAUGAUGAACUACUUGAUCCUGUGCUUCAAAUGAUAGUCUCCCCAACACUCAACUCUCUCUCAUAUAUUUGACUAUGGUAGAAUAGGGAUUUGAGUAGAAAGCAACUUGGGAAAGGCUAGAAAUCAAGGUUCAAAAGGUUGGAAUGGAAUCUCUUGAUCUCAACACAUGAGUAGGUGGCUCUCUCUCAGAAAAUGGAUGGUGGAAGUGUAGGCACGUUCUGAUGGCUCUCUCUCUGAUGGAGGAGAGGGUGGAGGGGUAUAUAUAGCCUCCACACAAAAUCCAAGCGUUGCACACUUUCGACUCAUCUUAGUGGCACCGAUUAGGAAACUCAGUGGCUCUGAUCUGUUAAAAAAUAUGAACAUUAGGAAUCUCGGUGGGAUGGACUGGAACAACUCGGCGGGACCGAUGUGCUAGGGCUGAGGGAAAACAUCAUCUCGGUGGCGCCGAUUGCAUCAACUCGGUGAGACCAAAGUGAAGCAAUGAGCAACAUAGAAUCUGUCAAGCUAACUUGGUGAGACCGAUUGCAACAUCUCGGUGGGACCUAUAUAAUUACAACAAGUCAACAGAGAGUUUGCAAGGCCAUCUCAGUGGGACUGAGAUACGUAUCGGUGUGACCGAAUCAAUAGGGUUUCUAGUAGUGGCUAUGUCAAAUGAACUCGGUGGCUCCAGGUAGAAAGAAUCGGUGGGGCCGAGUUUGAGUUUAGGGUUUGGACAUAUUUGGAUGGAGAAAGUGGCUGAGGGUUUUGGAGCAAUAUCAGUAAGCACUUGAGCAAGUAGACCAUUAAGCAACACCUCAUCCCCUUUUAAUAGUAUUGGCUUUCCUAUGGACUCAAUGUGAUCUUGGAUAACUUAAAUAAAAAUUAAGAGUCUUGAGAUUUUGCCAAUCUUUGUCCUUAUCAUUUUGAAGGGGUUCCACAUCCUCUUGUCCUGCCCACUCCACUAUUGAACUUAUCUGAAACACACUAGAUAAAACUAUUAGUCCAACAAAAGAUAUGUUGACAUUAAUUACCAAAAUCACCCAGGGAGCACGUGUGCUUUCAACCUCCCCAAGGGUUGCCAAUUGUACGGUUUGGUGACCACCCUCAAGGGUCCCUUAGUGGAAUCACAACAUCUUUCAUUGUUCGAGGGUGCGAGGAGAUUGCGGUGGCCCUAGUGGCAUUUUGGGGAGCAUUGUGCUUCCACAUGGUCCAAAUGGAGAUUAGCAUCCGCAAGGGUGUGAACUUGGGGAUACAUGUCAUCUCCGCGUGCCUCGAUUAUCUCCUACCGGAGCCCUUUACAUAUGUGCUUUACUUUGUGAUAGCCAUAGUAUGACAUGUUAUAUAUCUUGCUAUCACUUAGUUGUUUAUCUUGCUUAGCAUAAGUUGUUGGUGCACAUAAGUGAGCCUAGUCAAUUUAGGUUUUGUGCUUGACAAAUUAAACACUAGUUUUAUUCCUCAUUUGUUCAAGCCUAAACCGUAAUUAUUUUAAAGCGCCUAUUCACCCCCUCUAGGCGACAUCCAUGAUCUUUCAACCUUCAUCACCAUCCCCCAUCUAUAAUCGGCGGUCCACUCUCCCGCAACCCGUUGUACCCCCUAAUUGAACGUGGUUCUUUAUGCUAUAUAGUAUCCAAUGAUUUGUUGCACCUCUAUUAUGUUUGAGUAGUUUCUUUUUAUCAUAUGGGUUGACUCUUGAUCAUGAUUGGUUUGAGUUGCAUGCUUUAUUUUGGUGUUUUCCUACGGUGCCCGCCAUGUCACGCAAGUGUGUGGGGUUGCCGCUGUAGGGUGUUGCAAUAUGUCAAUGAUUUUCUUAUAGUGGGUUGCAGGAGUGACCAAAACCUAAACCCGAGUUCGUGAGUUGUUGCGUAUGGGAUCAAGGGGACUUUUUUUUACUUAAUGAUACGGUUGGGUUUUACCUUAAUGAAGCUUUCGUAUUUGCGGAUGCUUGCUAGAGUUCCAACCAUAAUAACAUAUGGUCCAAGAAUGGAAAGUAUGUUAGCUUAGGCCUCUCCCGCAUAUAAAACUGCAAUAAUGAUUAUCUGUCUAGUUAUCAAUUCGCUAGGGAAAAUUCCGCACAUCUGACCACCACUUUUCCACACUCGCUAUAUUAACUUUAUUGUUCUUUCAUUAGAACAUCACUAACUCUUUAUUAUCUCACAAAGCUAUAUUUUUAUUGAUGCAAACUAGUUUAUUUCUUGUUCUAGGUAAAGCGAACAUUAGUGUGUGUAGAGUUAUAUCGGUGGUCGAUAGAACUUGAGAGAAUAUUAAUUCUACCUUUAGCUCCUCGCUGGGUUCGACACCCUUAUUUAUUGAAAAGGCUACAAAUGAUCCUCGAUACUUGUGGGUUAUCAGGGGCCUCUUCCCCUCUCUCCCGGUGGUGCCGGAGUGCCGCCUGGGGAACAAUCAUCGCGACGAUCGCCUCUAUCUACUUCAUCAUUGUCAUCAUCAUCUCCAUCACCUUCCUCCCUCUCUAUGCAAUGAUUUACUCUCACACAACCCGUUGUAAUCUCUACUUGAACUUGGUGUUUGGUGCUAUAUAUUAUUAUCCCAUGAUUUGUUACAUCUCUAUUAUGUCUGAGUAGUUUAUUUUUGUCCUAUGGGUUAACUGUGAUAUGCUAUGGUUGAUUGGAGUUGUAUGUUAUUAUGGUGAUGUCCUAUGGUGCCCAUCAUUUGCGCACAUGUGUGGGAUUAACAUUGCAGGGUGUUGCAAUAUGUGAUCGAUUUUCUUAUGUUGGGUUGCAGGAGUGAUACAAACCUAAACCCUAGUUUGUGAGUUGUUGCAUAUGGGAUUAAGAGGGACCUUAUAUCUUAAUGAUAUGGUUGGUUUUUUACCUUAAUGAAUCUUUUGUAUUUGCAGAUGCUUGCUAGAGUUCCAAUCAUAAGUAUUUGUAGUCAAUGGAUUUUGCUACAUGUUAGAGUAUGCCUCUCCCGCAUAAAAACUGUAAUAGAUGAUUAUCAUGUUAGUUUCAUACCCAAUUGCCCAGGGACAAUUCUUUACACUAUUGCUAUUUUACAAAUCAACAAACUAACAUUUAUUUAUAAGUACUUUAUUAUCUUGCAAAGCUAUAUUUUCAUACCGGCCAAGUAGAUUUAUUUCUUGUUUCUUGGUAAAGCAAAUGUUCGGUGUGAGUAGAGUUGUAUCAGUGGUUGAUAGAACUUGAGAGAAUACUAAUCCUACCUUUAGCUCCUUGCUGGGUUAGGCACUCUUACUUAUCGAAAAGGCUAUAAUAGAUCCCCUACACCUGUGGGUUAUCAUAGAUCGUCCAAGGAGCGUCAUCCUUGGGAGAUUUUGAGUGGCGCCUCCUGGGGUGGGAGCUCAAAUUGUCCCAACUUUUGGGUGUCCGAGCCGCCCAUGUUGUGAGAUGCGUUAGCAUGGCUUUUUCUGCGAUGUCCCGCUUUGACGGGAGAUCAUUUUCCCUUAUCGGCUGGGAGGCUGAUCUUGUCCACCGGGGUGCAGGUCUUUGGCCCACGUGUGUUUAGAAACCGCACUUACCUCACUGUGGUCUGCCACAACGUCCAAGUCCUUUAUCAGGCUCCUCCAUGCUUGGUUGGUACUCCCUCUAUAAAGAAAUAUAAGAGCAUUUAGAUCACUAAAAUAGUGAUCUAAAUGCUCUUAUAUUUGUUUAUAGAGGGAGUACCUUCCUAGUCGCCAUCUACCUCUUAUCUUUCAGAUCUUCCUCGAACUGGAGGACCUAUUGCUAGCAUUCUUCAACCACCUGAGCCUCUGCAAGAAACUCUUCAUUAUCCCUGAUGACCUUCUUGGACAACCUGAUUAGCCUCUCCUGACCUCCGUCAUGGCGCGGGAUGCCAAGUGAUUUGUUGCAGAUUUCCUCAUCAGAGGGAUCGAACUCACUGUUGGGUUCCCCUCGUGCUGUGACACAUCAGGCGGAGGACUCUUGGGGCCAUUGUCCUUGUUUCCUUUGGCAUCUCCAUUGUUAUCAUUGACAUUGUAAUCACCACCACCAUGUAGAUCUCGUAGGUAGAGGUCUCCUCCACUUGCUUGAGGGCACCUUCGCUGGUGGUCGGCUGUCCACAGACUCACCGAUCUCCUCUUCCAUGUGCUUGACCUCAUCGGUGUUUCCUUUGAGGAUGUAGGUAUGAUCUUCAACGUUGGUGAUGGGAUGGGUGGUGGGUGGGUGAAGAAAAUUGACUUCCUAUGAUAAAUCCAUGAUCCAAUUUAACAAUAAGAUCAGAGAUGUUGCGUCUACUACUCCUCGAUCCGGUGAGAAGCCAAGCCCGAGAAGAUUAGCUCUACUCGGAGAUCUGCGGUGUACUCCAUGUCAUUGAAUCUUACGAUCUAGUCUAGAUCAAAGGCCUCGACCUGGCCGAGAUCGCCUGUCGAGUUGGCGACAAGGGUGAUGCCACUAGAGACGAACAUUUGGCCUGACAUAAAGAUUGCACCGGAACCAAUCAGAGCAUUGAUCCCUACUCCCAUCACGACGCGAAGUCAUUCAGCUAGAAGGACCUGCAUGCAUGGCCACCAUUCCCGAAGCGAAAUCUGGCUGAUCCUUCGGUAGGGUAUCCUAGCUAGGCUAGUGACAUGAUAAGAUAGGCAAGGGAUCUUACCCAGGUUUGGGCUCUCUAGGGGAGAUAAUAUCUCCUGCUUGUGUUUUAUCACAUUGGAGUGUAUCGAGAGUACAAAGUACUGAGAGAUUGUAAGUUUUCUAUUUACAAGCCUGGUCCCUCGGUUUAUCUAGCAUAUUGGGGGGUCCUAGGGCACAUGGAUCCUAGUAGGCUACGUAUGAGGAGGUGUAAUCCGUCGUGUAUGCCAAGUCGUCUAGAACCUUCAUACGAUAUGCCAUACCUUCAUAUGAUAUGCCAUGGGCAGCCCAAAGUGGCCCAGGAUAGAACUGACAAGGGGUUCUCAGCCAGGCCCAUCAGGCCAAGUGACAUCAUGGUGAGAGGCUCCUUAGAUGGGACACCAACAUUAUGCAUGGGCCGAAACACGUAUUGGGUCCUAUGCAGCUCCAAAACUAUAUGGCUGAUAAUCCUACUAAACCUAACUGGGCCAAAAUCAACACGAGCCAUUCAUGGUCCGGUAUGUACCACAUGGCUUAAAUGGGCCCAAAAGCAUCACACGCCAUUACCAGGCCAAAAUAUAUGGUAGGGCUAAAACUACAAAUGGCCAUUAAUAGGCCGAAAUAACUUUAGACCAUAAUUGUCCCAAGCAUACCUCAGGCCAUUAACAAGCCAAAAGACAACUCGAGCAGUAAAUGAGACAAAAGAUACCACGACCCUUUAACUGGCUGAAAGUUAGAUCAGACCGGAAUUAUACCUAGGAAACCACGGGCCGUUAACAGGGUGAAAGGCACAUCAAACCAAAAUGAGCCCAUGUGUACCAUGGGUCGUUAGUAGGCCGAAAGGUACACCUGACUACAAAUGAGCCCAAGUCCACCAUGGCAGGCCGAAUGACAUAUCGGGCGACAAAUGUGCCCAAUUCCACAACGGGCUGCUAACAAGCUGAAAGACACACCAGGCGACAAAUUGACCCAAUUCCACCAUGGGCCACUGAUACAUCUCCAACGUAUCUAUAAUUUUUGAUUGUUCCAUGCUAUUAUUUUAUCUGUUUUGGAUGCUUUAUAUGCAUUAAUAUGCUAUUUUAUAUUAUUUUUGGGACUAAUUUAUUAACCUAGAGCCCAGUGCCAGUUUAUGUUUUUCCUUGUUUUUGAGUUUCGCAGAACAGGAAUACCAAACAGAAUGAAACCUUCAUGUUGACUUUUCUUGGACCAGAAGACAACCAGGAGACUUGGAGAUGAAGUCGGAGGAGCCAUGAGGCGUCCACAAGGAUGGAGGGCGCGCCCCCACCCUUGUGGGCCCCACAUGACCCUCCUGACCUAAUUCUUUUGCCUAUAUAUUUCCAAAUAUCCCCAAACCACCAUAAGGAUCCACGAAAACACUUUUCCACCACUGCAACCUUCUGUACCCGUGAGAUCCCAUCUAGGGAUCUUUUUCGGCACCCUGUCGGAGGGGGAUUCGAUCAUGGAGGGCUUCUACAUCAACCCUAUUGCCCUUCUGAUGAAGCAUGAUUAGUUUACCACAGACCUACGGGUCCAUAGCUAGUAGCUAGAUGGCUUAUUCUCUCUCUUUGAUUCUCAAUACCAUGUUCUCCUUGAUGUUCUUGGAGAUCUAUCCGAUGUAAUACUCUUUUGCGGUGUGUUUGCCGAGAUCCGAUGAAUUGUGGAUUUAUGAUCAACUUAUCUAUGAAUAUUAUUUGAAUCUUCUCUGAAUUCUUUUAUGCAUGAUUUGAUAUCUUUGUAAUGCUCUUUGAACUAUCAGUUUGGUUUGGCCAACUAGAUUGGUUUUUCUUGCAAUGGGAGAAGUGCUUAGCUUUGGGUUCAAUCUUGCGGACAGUAGUGGCAGCAAGGCACAUAUUGUAUUGUUGCCAUCGAGGAUAAAAAGAUGGGGUUUUCAUCAUACUGCUUGAGUUAAUUCCUCUACGUCAUGUCAUCUUACUUAAUGCGUUACUCCGUUCUUUAUGAACUUAAUACUCUUGAUGCAGGCAGGAGUCGGUCGAUAUGUGGAGUAAUAGUAGUAGAUGCAGAGUCGUUUAUGUCUACUUGACACGGACGUGAUGCCUAUAUUCAUGAUCAUUGCCUUAGAUAUCGUCAUAACUUUGCACUUUUCUAUCAAUUGCUUGGCAGUAAUUUGUUCACCCACCGUAUUAUUUGCUAUCUUGAGAGAAGCCUCUAGUGAAACCUAUGGCCCCCGGGUCUAUUUUCCAUCAUAUAAGUUUCCGAUCUACUAUUUUGCAAUCUUUUACUUUCUGAUCUAUAAACCAAAAAUAUUUACUUUAUCUUUUAUCUAUCUCUAUCAGAUUUCACUUUUGCAAGUAACCAUGAAGGGAUUGACAACCCCUUUAUCGCGUUGGGUGCAAGUUAAUUGUUUGAUUGUUUGUGUAGGUAUUAGGUGAUUUGUGCGUUGUCUCCUACUGGAUUGACACCUUGGUUCUCAAACCGAGGGAAAUACUUAUCUCUACUUUGCUGCAUCACCCUUUCCUCUUCAAGGGAAAAACCAACGCAAGCUCAAGAAGUAGUAGGCACUAACACCCUGAAACAAACAUCAGGCUGCAAAUUGGUCCCAGUGUAAAGACACACCAGGCUGUAAUUGGCCCCAAAGACACCAUGGGCCGUUAAUGGGCCAAAACUAUCAAAGGGCCUUGACGAAAACAUUUCCAUGACGUGUAAUCUUUCAUCAUAAAAGUGGACACAUUCAUGAUGAAAAAGUGAAUAGUGUCAUGGAACUCAUCCACGACAACACAUGUAUGACUAUCUUGAUUCUGUCAUUAAACCGUCACAGAUGUACAUGGGUGACAGAAAACGUGACCUACUGCGACAAAUAUGUAUCAUCAUGGAUGUGUCUUUUUUGUAGUGAAGAUAUCUAAGAGUCCUCUUAACCACCAAAUACUGUCUCUCCCUAGGAUUAGCUUGAUAUCCUACAACAUGUAUACACUCAACAUAAUAUCUAGUCUAGAUGUCCAAAGAUAAAUCAAAAACUCAAUCAUAGAAUGAUAUGCCUUUGGAUCGAAUGGUUUACCAUUGUUGUCUUAAUCAAGAUGCCACGUAGUCGGCAUAGGUGCCUGUCAUGGUUUGGCAUUUGUCAUAUCAAACUUCGUGAGAAUAUCUUCAAUAUACUUUGUUUGUGAGAGAAAGAUCACUUCUGGAUAUUGCUUGAUUUGAAAGCCAAGAAAGAACUUCAAUUGCCCCAUCAAUGACAUCUCAAACUUUUUGGCCAUGGUUUUCACCCUUGGGUCUCUUAGUGAAAAGAGUGGGAUUGAUUACCCCCAUCACAAAUUCUUCCUCGGCUAGAAACUCUUUAAGGUGAGCAUUCCAAACACGUGGAUCUUGCUUGAGAAUGUACAAUGCCUUGGGGAGUUUAUAGACGCGGUCCUUGUGGUGAUGAACCCGAGUGGUUGUGCAACAUAUACUUCCUCUUGUACAGGACCAUUAAGAAAUGCACUUUUCACAUCCAUUUAAUAUAAAGUAAAGGCAUUGAACGUGACAUAUGAAAACAAGACGCAAAUGGAUUCAAGAUGGGCAACAGGGAAAAAAUAUUUCACCAAAGUCCGAACCUUCAACUUGGGAGAAAACUUGUGCCACUUACCUUGCCCGAAGGAAUUAGGUGGAGGCAAUUGCUUUGAUAGUCAGUGUCGAAGGAGACCGAGAUAGGGUAGCGGUUGCAAAUCUAGCACCGCAUGUCCUGUUCAUGGGUUGGGGAUAGUUUUGGGGGUGAUGUGAGAAUUUGGUUUGGGAGGUUUCUUUGGGGGGAUGGGAGGUAGUAGGGGUAGGCCAUGCAUGUAAUGUGGUAUUUUUCUUCUAAUUUUUCCAAGUAGGAGUGCAUGUAACUGGAAAUAAGCUGGCAUGCUCUAACAAGCCUAAAACAAGCUUGCUGCAGGAACAAAAAGUCAGAGCCAAAGGCUAUCCAAGUACCACCUUAAUUAAAAAAUUGAGGUCAUGUACAUUGUAUAUGAACAUUUAUUGCAUGACACAUGAUAUCUCUACUAUUAAAGGGGAAUAGGUCGUUUGCUUCCUUGCCUCUAGUUUUUUUCAUCCUUCGAGUCCAACCGUCCCACCGAUUUGUCUUCAACUUUAGUAGCCCGACAUCACAUCUCCUUCCUUUAGUAAUAUGAAAAUUAAUCCUUUUUCAUUUGGCAAAUUGGAAACGUAGUAACCCCACUGAUUAUUGUCCAAUUUUAUUUGCCAAACACCACAUCUCCCAUCAAUUUGCAUCCCCUCCUACUGAUUUAUUUCCAAACUUAUUUGCCCGACAUCACAUCUCCUUUCAUCAAUAAUAUGGAAACUAAUUCUUUUUUCACUUUGGCACAUGGAAAAUGUAGUACUUCCACUUAUUUAGUUCCAAUUUUAUUUUUCCAAAGUGGAAGGGGUACUGUGAGCGGAUGAGCCAUUGACAUAGGUGGUGAGAUUGGAUUAGUGAGACGGAGAUAGUGGGUGGAAGGUAUACAGAAGACACAAAAUCAAUAAAAUAUGUAUGCCCCCGUUGUAACGGCACGGACAAUAGCUAGUCAUCACACAAUUUUCCAACAUCAUCAUCAUCAUUGUUGUUGUUAUUGUUGUGAUGAAUUUGUGAUGCUAGACUUAAUGUAUUCCUUUGAGUUUGUACACUGAAAGAUAAUUCUCGUGAUGACCAAGUCUCCAUAUCAAAAACCUCUAUUCAUUGGCGGGAUCAACCCCAUCCCCCGCGUUGUCCUCCUCUAGGGCGACUCGGGCAGUAGUGAAUCCACACCCACUCAAGACCUCAUCCCCUGUGCUCCCCCUCCCCUUGCCACCGGCCCAUGGUCUUCACCGGGCAAAUCUCACGCGGAUCCGGUGGCAGCAGGGCUCUGGCGUCCUUGGGUCGCUGCCAUCGAGUUGGGGGCUUUUGCGGCGGCUGACAGCACUGCGCUCCUCUGCGCAGGUCGCAGGUGCUUGCAGGUGGCGAGAGGACAGUGGUGGAUGCACGUGUGUUCCAGUGCAUGGAGGUGCCGACCCCCCCCCCCCAGAUCUGAUAUGGAUCUGGGUGGGUUGGUGCUCGGCCCAUGGCUGCGAUUAGGCGGUGACGAGCUGGAUCAGGGCGGUGCGGGGGCCUGCCGUCGUGAUAAUAAAGGUGGCGGUCCUCUUGCUCCUCUCGCAUCACGACAACAUCCUACAUGGUCGGUUCUCCUGGAUCUAGUCAUCGACGUGUUCCGGAACUGCUGUCGGAGAUCUUGCCCAAGAUAUUUGGAUCGAGAAUUUGGUUGUGCACGCCCAUUUCAGCGUACGAGGUUCCAUGAGGGCGUGACACGAAGCUCUGUUGUUCGUUGACACCAUGGGACAUGUUGGCUUCUCGAUUUCUGUGGUGUAAACAACUGUGGAGAAGGUCAUGGUGGCUGAGAUCGGAGAAUCAGUUAGACAGACGGCGUCUUCGAGGCGAUGGAGUCACCCAGGUGUUUCAUAACUCUCAGGACCAGCAGGGUCAAGUGGGGGUGGUAGCACCGGAGGAUUCAUUUUUGGUGGUGCUCCUCAGGUGCUGAGCCUUCAGGGUGAAAAACUAAGGUCUGGCCUUCACUGGUUGUGCCUGGCAAUUGCCUUGCAGAAGGAAUUGUUCUGAGAGCUCAGACUUCUCCAGGGUGAAAACCUAAGAUUUUGGAUCAGGCAACAACAGCGCUUGUGCAUUGUUUCCUUCUUGAAGGCGUUGCUUUUGAAGACCUUUUAUAUUUUUCGUGUGCUGUAUCUUGUGAUGGUUUUUGUGCGCUGAUGAGAGGAGUUGAUCACUAUGGUGGGAUCUUUUUUUUCCUUUGGCUUUGUGUAUCCUGUAUGUCUUUGAGACAUCUUAUAUGUGCAAAGGCUGAGUGUAAUAGGUAUCUUCGCGAUAUUAAUAUAUUCUUGAAAAAACAGUGAAAUAUAAUUCUACGUGGGAGCAUCAAGUAGUAGAAGCAUCUUAUUUUUGAAUAAAAAACGGAGAUUACAAAUGGUGACCAAAUUCGACCGGUUAUCACAGUGACACAACCAUCUCACGAACUAUCUGCGCUGAGACUCGAGACCGUCAUGACUUCAUAGGCGGCAUACUGACCGUGUGAGAUGAAGGAAGCCGUGUUUGCCAUGCACUAUUAAUCUGGUAGCGUACCUAAUGCGGAUGCCCUUUCACAAUAUAAUUACCUCUAGUUUCCCUCAAAGAAAAAUUACCUCUAGUUAGUAGGAGUAGCAAUGCUGAUACAUCUCACUGUCUCGCCAUAUAUACGGUACGGCAAACCUAGAGAAUAAUGCAAAUUGGCUUGAGUGCAAGUAGCCAGGAAGGAGUAGGACCAGCAGCAUGGCACACGGCCGUUGAUUCUAUGGUGCAGAGGAUAAGGUGCGCAGACAUGUGGUUAUUUAUCCCGACCUUAUCUGGACGCCGGUGAUGCGCGGGGGCUAAUCGCCGCUGUGGAACGGCAGCCACUCCUUCCACAUCUUGUUGUUGCUCAGGAAGGGCCAAAGGGUUAUAUAAGCCGCUGCUGACCCAACGCAGCAGUCCUCAAGCCAGAGUGCCUCCUCCUAGCAAGCUAUAUACCUACAUAGUACAGCCAUGGCCCCCACCGUGAUGGCCUCGUCGGCCACCUCCGUCGCUCCUUUCCAGGGGCUCAAGUCCACCGCCGGCCUCCCCGUCAGCCGCCGCUCCAACGGCGCUAGCCUCGGCAGCGUCAGCAACGGUGGAAGGAUCAGGUGCAUGCAGGUAAACAACAUCGUCUCUGUCUUUCUACUCAUUUUCUACCUCACGGAAGACAAUAACAAUCAUAUGUGAACUUUCAUAUGGUCAAUUACAUACAAUAGUUUCAAAUCCCGACGUCAAUCAGCACACAAUUUAGCCGGCUUCUCCAUCUGAUAUGUGCAGAACUAGAGUUAUAGUCUGUUAAUGUAUACAUGACUGUCAAUCUGAUUUGCAGGUGUGGCCCAUCGAGGGCAUCAAGAAGUUCGAGACCCUGUCUUACCUGCCACCGCUCAGCACGGAGGCCCUCCUCAAGCAGGUCGACUACCUGAUCCGCUCCAAGUGGGUGCCUUGCCUCGAGUUCAGCAAGGUUGGGUUCAUCUUCCGUGAGCACAACGCAUCUCCUGGGUACUACGAUGGCCGGUAUUGGACAAUGUGGAAGCUGCCUAUGUUCGGGUGCACUGACGCCACACAGGUGAUCAACGAGGUGGAGGAGGUCAAGAAGGAGUACCCUGACGCGUAUGUCCGCAUCAUCGGAUUCGACAACAUGCGUCAGGUGCAGUGCGUCAGCUUCAUCGCCUUCAAGCCACCGGGCUGCGAGGAGUCCGGCAAGGCCUAAACAGCUCACUCACGACAGGCCAUAUAUAAAGUGCCAUUGCAGUUUUGUCAACUCUGACAUUGCUUUGGGUUUUCCUUCUCCAUUUAUCUUUCUUAUUUGUUCCUAAGAAUAUGUGUAUGUCCAUGUUCAUGUACCAACAUGGCUCGAGAAAGCAUGCUCGUAUGUGAAUGCUAUCGGUGGCUAUGUAUAUGCACGGACGCAUAAUAUUAUACAAUAUGUCAACUAUAUACGUUUUAAUGGUAACCAAUGGAAAAUAUCUCCACCGCCGUGCUUAUUACUUCCUUCAUCCCAAAAUAAUUGUCUUAACCUUGGUAUAACUUUAUACUAGAACUAAUUCAAAGUUAAGACACUUAUUUUGAAACAGAGUGAGUACUUUUUAUUAGUAGUCGACGGUUGGACGUUGUCUUAGUUUGUAUCCCUAAAAUGUAUGGUUGUAAACAUGGCUCCCCAGAAUGUUGGACAACAAUAUUUUAUUAGUUGUAUUUAUAAGUGCAACAUAGGACUAAAUCUCAGGCCAUAGUAUAAUUAAAGGGAAAAUGAGAAAGUUGUAUUGAAUUUGGUGCAAAGAUGAAAUUAUUACAGUGGGCUCUAAUAAUUUUUAGAGUGUGAAGCAAAUGAAGUUAGAGAAAAACAAGAUCUAUCAAAGGAAACCGGUUAUUUCAUUUAUCCGGUAAAAAGUCUAUAAUAGAAGUGUUGUAUAAAUGGUUUGUAUACUCUUGUUGUGUCUCGUAAGGCAUUGGUUGUGGUUUUCUUGCUUAUAAGCCAGAAGCCAAACCAAACAUCAAAACCGCUAAAUGUGCUUUAAUAUUAACAAGCCACCUAGAAAACUAGUGAAGUGGUGAAAUUAAUCUCAGAGAUCGUUUUGUUGCUUUUGAGGCCAGGUAUUCGAGUUUAUUCCCCAAGUUGAUAGUUAUUUAGUCACCAAUUCCUUGGGUAUGAAAAAAAAGAACCCUCCCAAUAUCUCCCAUGCAUGCCCACGUAUCGUGCCCCUAUCGCAUCUCUUGAAUGAUUAAAGUUGCGGCGGUGCUACCUUGUUUGUGGCCAUCGGUAUUCUUCCCUCGUCACCGCCUGAGCACUCGCCCGCCAUCAAUGUCAGACGUCGCCUUCAUCACACCAUCCUUCGUCAUCACCCUUUCGACUUCUUUCGCGAUGUUUCCCUAUCAUGUUAUCAUCCUCUAGACACUCGUAAGGGCUAAGGACACGAGCGCUACUUUGGGGAUCCUACUGCCAUGGGAGAUAUGAUCCUAGUAAUUGUGUGAUCACCUGAUCGUGUUGUAUCCCAUGAAGAUAGCUACCAAAUUACCGGCCCCGGUAUGCCUUUAUAAGGGCUGACAAGAGCCUCGUCGGUGGGACAAGGUCAUGGAGGAGCACAUAUCUGUAACUGUCGGCCCAGUUGAAAGAACAUGCGGUGCGCCCAUGUUUGGUUUUGGUAAUUAAUGACAAUCUCUAUGGACUAAUGGUUUCCUUGAGUUAUAUUUGAAGGAUUUGUCCAUAGGCAUUUCUUGAAGUCCAUGGGUUGGUAUCAAGGAGUUUAUGUGACCACCAAAGCGCUAUUCAAGCAAUUAUCCAAAGAUUGGUCAUGUAGAUGACAUGAUACAAGGUUAAUCAAGACCAAGUCAAAGAGUGAAUCAAGUUGAUCAACACACAAAGCAUAAAAGAUGUUCCAAGUGGGACCAACGGAUCCCAUGGUAUGGUAAGCAUUGUCCAUUACGCUUUGUAUACUAACCCAUGGUCUACAUGAGACUUCUAUGUGUGGUUAGGCAUGUUUCCAAGGGCUUGUGUCAAGAGAAAGAUCUCAUACAACCCAUGGAGGAUGACAUCAAGUGAUGAUCGUCAUUAAGAUUGCCGUGUGCAAAUUCAGUGGAGCAUCACGAAGAGAUCAUGCUUGAAGCUUGCUGCCCAUUGUGGUGACAACGGACUUGUGAAGAUGUGUGAUACGUCUCCAACGUAUCUAUAAUUUUUGAUUGUUCCAUGCUAUUAUAUUAUCUGUUUUGGAUGUUUUAUAUGCAUUAAUAUGUUAUUUUAUAUGAUUUUUCAGACAACCCUAUUAACCUAGAGCCUAGUGCCAGUUUCUGUUUUUUCCUUAUUUUAGAGUUUCGCAGAAAAGGAAUACCAAAUGGAGUCCAAACGGAAUGAAACUUUCACGAUGAUUUUUCUUGGACCAUAAGACAUCCAGAGGACUUGGAGUGCACGUCAGGGCAGCCACGAGGUGGCCACAAGGUCGGAGAGCGCGCCCCCACCCUUGUGGGCCACUCUUGACUCCAUCGACCUAUUUCUUGCGCCUAUAUAUUCUAAAAUAUUCCAAAACCUACCAGGAGAGCCACGAAAACACUUUUCCAUCGCCGUAACCUUCUGUACCCGUCAGAUCCCAUCUAGGGGCCUUUUCUGGCGUCCUGCCGAAGGGGGAUUUGAUCACGGAGAGCUUUUACAUCAACACCAUUGCCUCUCCGAUGAAGCGUGAGUAGUUUGCCAUAGACCUGCGGGUCCAUAGCUAGUAGCUAGAUGGACUCUUCUCUCUCUUUGAUUCUCAAUACCAUGUUAUCCUCGAUGUUCUUGGAGAUCUAUUCGAUGUAAUACUAUCUUUGCUGUAUGUUUGCCGAGAUCCGAUGAAUUGUGGAUUUAUGAUCAGCUUAUCUAUGAAUAUUAUUUGAAUCUUCUCUGAAUUGUUAUAUGCAUGAUUUGAUAUCUUUGCAAGUCUCUUCGAACUAUCGAUUUGGUUUGGCCAACUAGAUUGGGUUUUCUUGCAAUGGGAGAAGUGCUUAGCUUUGGGUUCAAUCUUGUGGUGUCCUUUCCCAAUGACAGUAGGGGCAGCAAGGCGCAUAUUGUAUUGUUGCCAUCGAGGAUAAUAAGAUGGGGUUUUCAUCAUAUUGUCUGAGUUUAUCCCACUACAUCAUGUCAUUUUUCUUAAAGCGUUACUCUGUUCUUAUGAAUUUAAUACUAUAGAUGCAGGCAGGAGUCGGUCGAUGUGUGGAGUAAUAGUAGUAGAUGCAGGCAGGAGUCGGUCUACUUGAUAUGGACGUGAUGCCUAUAUUCAUGAUCAUUGCCUUAGAUAUCGUCAUAACUUUGCGCUUUUCUAUCAAUUUCUCAGCAGUAAUUUGUUUACCCAUUGUAAUAAUUUCUAUCUUGAGAGAAGCCUCUAGUGAAACCUAUGGCCCCCGGGUCUAUUUUCCAUCAUAUAAGUUUCUGAUCUACAAUUUUAGUUUCCUAUUUACUUCCUUUGCAAUCUUUUACUUUCUGUUCCAUAAACCAAAAAUACCAAAAAUAUUACUUUACCGUUUAUCCAUCUCUAUCAGAUCCCACUUUGCAAAUAACCAUGAAGGGAUUGACAACCCCUUUGUCGCGUUGGGUGCAAGUUGGUGUUUGUUUGUGCAGGUAUUCGAUGACUUGUGCGUUGUCUUCUACUGGAUUAAUACCUUGGUUCUUAAAAUUGAGGGAAAUACUUACUCUACUUUGUUGCAUCACCCUUUCCUCUUCAAGGGAAAAACCAACGCAAGCUUAAGAGGUAGCAGGCAGAAUUUCUGGCGCCGUUGUUGGGGAGAUUUAGGCCAAGUCAAGUCAAGAUUUUUCUCCCGUCAACUUGCCAAUUCCUGGCACUGGUUCCGGGGAGAUCUACGCCAAGACAAGACAUACGAAGUACCCAUCAUAAACUCUCAUCCCUUGCAUUACAUUAUUCGCCAUUCGCCUCUCGUUUUCCUCUCCGCCACUUCUAAAAUGAUUUUCGAAAAGAUUUGCCCUUUUCUUCGCCCGUCUUUCGUUCGAUCUUAUGUUCGCUUGUGUUGCCAUGUGCCUUCUAUUUGCUUGCAUCUUCGCUUGCUAAAAAUCUAUCGAUAUGGAUCCUCAUCCACUUGCUAAUAUUUUUAAGAGAUCCAAUUAUGAUGAACCAGUUGCUAGUGAGUUGAGUGCACUAGCUUAUCUUUAUGAGGUUUUGCUUGAAAUUCAUGAAUCUGAAAAUUGGGAUGAAGUGUUGAAAGAAGAAAUUUAUGAAGUGAUUCACGAUAGCUCCUUGAAUGAAAAGCAUGAUUGAAAUGAUGCUAUUAUAAUUUCCAUUACUAUCAAUUGUGUUAAUGAUAUGAAAAACCCUAAGCUUGGGGAUGCUAGUUUUUCCAUGUCCACUAUUUGUUGCAAUGAUCAUGAUUGGGGUGAUUCUUCUUAUAACCUUGAAAAUUUAUUUAAGCCCCAUGAUGAAUAUGAGAUUGAUAAUAAUGUUUUCAAUAAUACUGAAAGUGGGUUUGGAAGAGUGUCAACUCUAGAUCCCACGUAUUUGGAUAAUGUUCAAUCUUAUGAAGUUUUUGAUAAAAGUGGGUUCAGAGAGGGCAUGACUUUAUUUUAUGAUAAUCCCACUAUUUUGGAAUAGUGUCAACUUUGCAUGCAUGUGGAUCAUGAAGAGAAAAUUUUAUGUGAUAGCUAUAUUGUUGAAUUUGAUUAUGAUCCUGCAUGUAAUUAUUAUGAGAGAGUAAAAUAUGGUUGUAGAAAUUCUCAUGUUAUUGAAUUACCUCUCGUUAUGUCGAGAUUGCUAUUAUUUCUUUCUUGUUCCUUGCAUAUGCUAGUUUUUGCUUACAUUGAUAAUUUGUUUGCCUAUAGGAUGCCUAUGCAUAGGAAGUAUGUUAGACUUAGAUGUAUUUUCCACAUGCUAUUUGAUGCUCUCUCCGUGUUUCAAUUGCUAUCUUUCAUGUGAGCAUCAUCGAAAUUAUCAAUGCCUAGCUAAAAGGCUUUAAAGAAAAGCGUUUAUUGGGAGACAACCCAAUAUAUUUCCUUGUUGUUUUGCAACAAAUAAUUCAUCUAGCCACUGGUUAGAUGUGGUUUGGUGUUUUAAUUAGUGUUUGUGCCAAUUAAGACCUUUGGGAUAGCUUACGGUGAUAGUUGAUUUGAUCUUGUUGAAAAACAGAAACUUUUACACUCAGGAAAACAAUUCUCAUUUUUAGCAGAAGAGUGAUAAAAUACUGAUUAUUUUUGCAGAUGAUUAAUAAAUAAAUUUCUUAGUUCUUCCUAAUUUCUCAUAAUUUUUGGAGUUACAGAAGUAUUCGAAAUCUCCAGAUUGCUACAGACUGUUCUGUUUUUAACAUAUUCUAUUUUCUAUAUGUUGUUUGCUUAUUUUGAUGAAUCUAUGGCUAGUAUCGGGUGGUAUGAACCAUGGAAAAAUUAAAAUACAGUAGAUAUUACACCAAUACAAAUAAUCAAUUAGUUCACAACAAUACCAAAAGUGGUGAUUUAUUUUCUUAUACUAACGGAGCUUAUGAGAUUUUUUGUUAAGUUUUGUGUUGUGAAGUUUUUAAGUUUUGGGUAAGGAUUUGAUGGACUAUGGAAUAAGGAGUUGCAAGAGCCUAAGCUUAGGGAUUUUGUAACAUCCCAAAUUUUCAAUUUGGAAUGUUAUACAUUAGAUCAUCAUUGCAUAUCAUAUUUUAUUGCAUUUUGGCUAGAUCCUAAAAAUCCUACGCAACUCAAGGACCCAUGGAGAGAGUUGAGGAUUUCGUUAUUUUCAUAUUUGGGUUUUCUCAAAUUUUGAAAAUAGGAUCAUUUGAUUUGAUUUAUUUUAUCUUCAGUUAUUUCAAUUAUAAAAAUAAGAGAGAGGGAAUAAAAUGGCUUUCCCAAAAUAAAGAAAUAUUGAGGAUUUAAUAAAAAAAAUCAAAUAAGAUUUUAUUUCGGAGUUUUCUCGCUAUUUUAUUUGAAUUAGGAAAAAAAUACGCGUUUUUCAAAAUUGCGUUUAGGCCCCAAAUAAAUGUUCAUCUUGGCCGGCUUGAUUUUAGAAGUCGGGGAAAAUUUAUUUCAGGAUUUUUGGAGUCCGUUUAGUAUUUCUUUUAUUUGUUUUUCUGUGCAAAAUUAUUAUAAAAAAACAAACGAACCGACCUAACCGGGCCGUGUCCAACUAGGACUCUGGCCCGGCCGGCCCUUAUAAGCCGGGGAGGCCACCCCGUAGCCCAGCCCGAACCGCCCCGCCGCCCCAAACCCUAGCGCCGCAGCCCGUCGCCCGCCGCUGCCACCCGUCGUCCCGCCAUCGCCCACCGCCGCCGCCCGUCGUCCCGCCGUCGUCCGUCGCCNNNNNNNNNNNNNNNNNNNNNNNNNNNNNNNNNNNNNNNNNNNNNNNNNNNNNNNNNNNNNNNNNNNNNNNNNNNNNNNNNNNNNNNNNNNNNNNNNNNNNNNNNNNNNNNNNNNNNNNNNNNNNNNNNNNNNNNNNNNNNNNNNNNNNNNNNNNNNNNNNNNNNNNNNNNNNNNNNNNNNNNNNNNNNNNNNNNNNNNNNNNNNNNNNNNNNNNNNNNNNNNNNNNNNNNNNNNNNNNNNNNNNNNNNNNNNNNNNNNNNNNNNNNNNNNNNNNNNNNNNNNNNNNNNNNNNNNNNNNNNNNNNNNNNNNNNNNNNNNNNNNNNNNNNNNNNNNNNNNNNNNNNNNNNNNNNNNNNNNNNNNNNNNNNNNNNNNNNNNNNNNNNNNNNNNNNNNNNNNNNNNNNNNNNNNNNNNNNNNNGCCGACCCCGCCGCCCGACGCCGGAGCCGCCCCGCCGCCACCGUCCUGCCGCGGAGGUUGACCACCGCCGCCGCCGCCGAUUUCCUCGAGAAAAUCGUCCGGUUUUCGUUCGUUUUUUUAAAAAAACUAGAUCUGUUUUUUAUAUAGAUCGGUUUUUUUCCGGUUUUGUUUAUUUAGCCAACGCCCGUUCGUUCGUUUUAACGAACGGUUUUCGUCUUUUAGCCGCAGUUAGCGAACGUUCAUUCGUUAGCCUGUUCGUCCGUUUUUCUUUUUCUCGGAUUUUCCGCGAUUAUUUCUGAUCGUGAUUUUCGAUCUGUUUUUCGUUUUAGUAUAACUUUUCGCUCGUUUAUCGAAAUCAGGAGAUUCAAGCGCCUAGAGUUUCGUAUCGAAACCCUCUUUCAGUUUAACCAACUCAAACAAGUUUUUGCUUCUGUAAAAUUUGACUUAGGUCCAGAUUAGUAAACAAACCCUGUUUCUUUCGCCGUUUGACUUUCGUUGUUUCGUUUGAAUUGUUUCUUUUUGCAAACCGGAGUUCUUAAGUUGAAUUUUCUGGUUAGAUCUCUUAUUUGAGUUUUACCUGUGCAUUAGAUGAGUGCUUAUUGUGUGCUUGUUUGUUUGCGAUAGAGUACCCGGAGUGCGCCGCUUGCUACUUCGAAUCUCUAGGUUUCACGGGUCAUCAGCAAGGCAAGUAACACUUUGAUCAUACCUCUUACUACCAAGUUUUAUUGCAUUAGAUAAAUCCUCAAACAAUUGCAUGGUUAGGAUCUGAAUUAAAUUGUGGGUUUGGGAAGUAGAUGAGGUAGUACCUAUUCACGUGUUUAUUAUCAAACCCCGGGAGUUACUUCUACGUUAUGCUUAUAUUGCUAUGUUAUGCUCGUAGACGUGGUUUGGGUUUGAGUGUAUUCAUGACAGAUGUGAGAUUGUUUAAUUAAUGGUUAACUUAAGGUGGCAACUCUAAUACACAUCUGGGUGGAUUGAGGCACCUGGGUAUUCCAGCGAUUGCCUGUUUUUCUUUAUGGACCGCCACCCAGGCUCAAAGGGAUCAUGAGAUUAUUCAUACUAGAAACUUCCGUGUGCAGCCACAAGCUACUAUGGGCUCUAGCAUAGUUGAUUAAGUCGUGCGAACUCUUACAGUGGUAGACUAGCAGAUGUAGGGGAAAGUAGGUGUAACGGUCUACCCGAUCGUAAGGUGCUAGCGCUUCUGAAAAACUAUGUCUCGAUCAUCCGUUUCUCAAACUCCAUGUAGUGCGAGAAUCCCAACGGAGGAGAUUGAGUCUUGUGGGGAAAAGUGCGCAAACAUCUGCAGAGUGUAUAAACUAAUCAUGGUUAGCCGUGUCCCCGGUUAUGGACAACUUGAGUAUCUAGUACUUGGAUUAUCAUGUGAAUCUCAUCAUGUGACUUUAAUUAAUUUUGUUGGGUUUUAAUGAUGAUGUUUAAUUGGGAUUGAGAGGGUGUCUACGCUCUCAAUGUUUAACAACCACCAUGAUAGUUAAAUAAAUUUAUUCCUUUAAAGUGGGGAAAAACUGGCUUUACGCAAAACUGUAACCAUAGAGCUUUCCACCAGCCAUAUAUGCAUGUAGUAUAGCCUAUUCUGUUCACUACUCUCUAUGUGUUACAUUGCCAGCAUAUUCCAUGUGCUGACCCGUUUUCGGGCUGCAACAUUCAUGUUGCAGACUUUUCAGACGACGAAUAAGGAGCCUUAGGUCGUGGUUCUAUGCUCAGUGAUGCCGUUGGAGUUGAUGGACUCACUUAUCUUCCAAGCCUUCCGCUAUUAUCGUUAUUAGAUGGCCUUACGCCAUAUUAUUUGUAAUAAGUUCUCUUUUGAGACAUUCGAUGUAAUAAGUGUGUGAUUGCUACUCUGUUAUAAAUCCUUCAAGUACUGUGCGUGUCAGCAUUAUUGAUCCAGGGAUGACACUGAAGCACAGAGAUCACACUGUUUGAGGUCUAAUCGCUACAAGAUGGUAUCAGAGCACACGCUAACUGUAGGACACGACCACUAAGAUAAAGACCUAGAUCACUACUCUCUUCUCAUUUCUGACUCCUCAUCUUUUCUACUCUUUUAGGAUGGCAGAUGCAAGGAACAAGUUCACGCAACCGAAUGAAGAUACACCCUUUGGACACCACCUGAAGGAAGUCACUAAGUACCUGAACAUCAGAGUACCAAGCUUCACCGGGACCUACAACGCCACUUUACCCAAGGAGGAGCGCUGGAUGAUUCAAGUUCAAGUUCCUGGAAGGAUGUUCGCGCCAGUCACCGAGCCCAUAGAGUUUUCCUUUGAUGCACCAACCUGGAGUCUAGGAAAGAGCAUGGAUGCCCACAUUACCAUGGGACGUAUUGGAGAAGUUUACCGCAAUGAUCUCAAGGAUACUAUCUAUCAGAUUUGUGGGCGCCGAGAUGAGAAAUGGGAGAUGAUCAGCAUCAGGAAGGAUAGAUCAAUCGCAGCUUUUAUCCAAGAGUUAAAUCAGCACAUUCGACAUCAGGAGAACCAGAUGUGCGCAGGCAUGAUAGAUCUGAAGAAGGCAAUGACAAGAAUCACGGAGCUGGAGGAAGAACUCAAAGCUACACGCGAAGAUUAUAUGGAGGAAAUCAAAGUAUUAGUGGAGAAGAAUGACGACCUGACUAGGAAUCUAGGAGUUUUCAUGGGAGAUCCCGCGCCAGGAGGAGAAGAUGACGAUUCCACUUGCCCAGAGAACUACAUCAUCAUCGACGACACCGACUCAGACCCAGAUGACAGCGAUGAUGACUAUGUUGAUGAAGCUGGAGCGGAUAUCAUGGAGUCUUCAUCGGAGCAGUUUUUCUAGUAGACCACCAUAACAGUAGUAGUAUUCCACCAUAUAUAUAGCAUAGUCCAAGUACUUUUAUAACGAUAGUUCUAGACCGAUUGUAUGCCCUUGUUUGAAUUGAAUGAAGUGAUUUUGUUUGCAUUUGCCUCAUGUGCAUAUGGGUAGUGUUUUCCCUCUAGACCUCAAUCUAUUCUAUAUUCUCAUCUUUUCUAAACCCUCGGAUGCCUCCAAGAUGUGACAAUGGAUUUGCUUUCCCAUCGGAGCUCACUCAGUUGAUCCAGCAGCAGAAUGCAUUGGUGCAGUUGCUAGUCCAGAAUUAGAAUCAGGGGAACAACAACAACAACAACCAACCACACCACCUGUUGAUCACUUAACCCGUUUCCUUAGACUGAAUCCGCCGGUGUUCUCCAGUAGCACCGAGCCGAUAGUGGCAGAUGAUUGGCUCUGCAAGACAGGGAGGGAAUUGACCACAACAGGAUGCACAUAUGCGGAAAAGGUGCGUUUUGCCGCACAUCAGCUUUAAGGACCCGCAUCAUCAUGGUGGGAGAAUUUCACAUCCACUUAUCCUAUCGACACUGUCACAUGGGAUCGGUUUCAGCAGGCUUUCCGUACUGCCCAUGUUUCAGCAGGAGCUAUGGCCAUGAAGAAGCGUGAGUUUCCCAACUUGCACCAAGGAGGACGGACAGUUGGCCAAUAUGUGGAUGACUUUAGUAAGUUAGCACGUUAUGCCCCGGAUGACGUUGCUACGGAUGCAGCUAAGCAGGAGAAAUUUCUGGAAGGACUGAAUGAUGAGUUGAGCAUGCAGUUGAUGGUAGCAACUUUCAACAACUACUAGGAGUUGGUAGAUCGUGCUCUUAUGAUUGAAGGGAAGCAGCAACAGAUUGAGAACCGCAAGAGGAAGUAUGGAUAAGGGAAAUACAAUUCAGGAGCUCAGCAGAAGCCACGUUUUACCCCGAAAUCGGGAGGACAUUUUCAGCAUACCCAUGGAGGAGGGAGUUCGCAUAAUCAUAAUGGCCCCAAGAAUGGUAAUGGGAAUGGGGGAAGCAACGGUCAGAAUCGUACCAACCCAUCAACCCCAGCCAAGAGAGACUUGAGCCAAGUCACUUGUUAUAAGUGUUAGAAGACCGGGCAUUAUGCCAAUGAAUGUCCUGAAGCCCAGAAUGGAAAUGGCAAUGGAAGCUCAGGGAAGAAACCAAACCCUUUCAACAGGGGACAGGUGAACCACAUUAACAUGGAAAAGGUUGAAGCCCAGCCAGAUGCAACAAUAGGUAAGUUUUUGGUUAAGUCAUUUACUGCAAUCGUUCUUUUUGAUACUGGGGCAUCGCAUUCAUACAUAUCAAGGGGAUUUGUGGAUAAGUAUAAACUACCCACCAAGGUUCUUAAAACACCUAUGUUAGUAAGCUCACCAGGAGCGGAGUAUAUGGCCAGUAGAGGAUGUUUUCAAGUGCCAUUGAGUAUAGGUAGACAUGUGUUUCCCUCGGGUUUAAUCAUUAUGGAAUCGCAAGGUUUGGAUGUAAUUCUGGGUAUGGAUUGGCUAUCGAUGUGUGGAGGAAACAUCGAUUGCGCCAAUAAGUCGAUUUUGCUUACCACCCCAGAGGGAAGAAGGAUCAAGUAUGUAUCACGGCAUGUGCCGAAUAGGACUCAAGUAAAUUCCUUAACAGGAGUUGUGUGGGAGGAAGUAUCGGUGGUAAAGGAUUUUACAGAUGUAUUUCCAAAAGAGUUGCCAGGCAUGCCACCGGAUAGAGACAUUGAGUUUUUGAUUGAGCUUUUGCCAGGCACAUGGCCAAUAUCUAAGAGACCAUACAGAAUGCAUGCAAAGGAUUUGGAGGAGAUUAAGAAGCAAAUUAAGGAGUUACUGGAUAAGGGUUAUAUUCGCCCAAGUUCGUCACCUUGGGGAUCAACAGUACUUCUAGUGGAAAAGGAGGAUGGAUCAUUAAGGAUGGUUGUUGAUUAUCGAGGAUUGAAUGAAGUGACGAUCAAGAAUAAGUACCCACUGCCAAUGACUAAUGAUUUGUUUGACCAAUUGCAAGGAGCUAAGGUAUUUUCCAAGAUCGAUUUGCGAUCAGGAUACCACCAGUUGAAGAUUCGAGAGCAGGACAUACCUAAGACAACUUUUACCACAAGGUACAUGCUGUAUGAGUAUACCGUUAUGUCAUUUGGUCUGACUAACGCACCUGCCUAUUUUAUGAACAUGAUGACAAAGUGUUUAUGGAGUUUUUGGAUAAGUUCGUCGUAGUAUUCAUUGAUGAUAUUCUGGUUUACUCGAAGAAUGAAGAAGAACAUAAAGAACAUUUGCUUUUGGUACUUGCUAAGCUCAGAGAACAUCAGUUAUACGCCAAAUUCAGCAAAUGUGAGUUUUGGUUGAAGGAAGCUGGAUUCCUCGGACAUGUUAUAUCCGGACAAGGAAUAGCAGUAGAUCCCACCAAGGUUGUCACUAUGACAAAUUGGGAAGCCCCAACAACAGUUGGAGAGAUCCGGAGUUUUCUUGGACUCGCAGGAUACUACCGGAGAUUCAUUGAAAAUUUCUCGAAGAUUGCAAAACCUAUGACGGAGUUGUUGAAGAAGGAUACCAAGUUCAAAUGGACUGAGGAAUGUGAGGCCAGUUUCCAGUAGUUAAAGAAACGUUUGGUUACCUCGCCAGUGUUGAUUCUGCCAGAUCAGCGCAAGGAUUAUGAGGUAUAUUGCGCCGCUUCACGUUGAGGACUUGGAGCAGUGCUUAUGCAGGAGGGUAGAGUUGUUUCAUAUGCCUCACGACAGCUUAAGCCCCAUGAGUUGAAUUAUGCUACUCAUGACUUGGAGUUAGCAGCCGUAGUGCACGCUUUGAAGACAUGGAGACAUUUUCUCAUCGGAAAUCAUUGUGAGGUGUACACGGAUCACAAGAGUUUGAAGUACAUCUUCACGCAGAAGGAGUUGAAUCUCAAGCAAAGGAGAUGGUUGGAGCUCAUCAAGGAUUAUGAUAUGAGAUUGCAUUAUCAUCCCGGAAAGGCUAACGUAGUAGCUGACGCAUUGAGCCGCAAGAGCCAUGUUAACACACUAAUGACCGGAGUGUUACCAAAAGAAUUAGCCGAGGAUCUUCGUGAGCUAUGUUUGGUGAUAGUUCCGAGAGGCUAUGUAGCAGCAUUGGAGAUUCAGUCUACUCUGAUGGAUAAGAUCAGAGAAGCUCAGAAGACCGACAAGGAAAUUGCCACCAUAAAGGAGAAGGUGAGCAAGGGAAAAGUUAAAGGAUUUCGUGAGGAUGAAUACGAUACCUUAUGGUUUGAGGACCGCGUUUAUGUGCCUAAUGACCGGAGAUCAGGAAGUUAAUUUUGCAAGAGGCCCAUGAUUCGCCGUACUCGAUUCACCCAGGAAACACCAAGAUGUAUUUGGAUUUGAAGGACACUUUCUGGUGGACUAGAAUGAACAAGGAUAUUGCGGCGUAUGUAGCAGUCUGUGAUGUAUGUCAGAGAGUGAAGGCAGAGCAUCAGAAGCCAGCAGGAUUGCUACAGCCAUUGCCGAUACCCGAAUGGAAGUGGGAUAAGCUAGGCAUGGAUUUCAUCACGGGAUUACCCAGGACCCGUUCAGGCUAUGACUCGAUAUUGGUUAUAGUCGAUCGCCUGACGAAGGUAGCUCAUUUCAUCCUAGUGAAGACCACUUACACCAGUGCUAAGUUGGCAAAGAUAUACAUGACCAAGAUUGUAUGUUUGCAUGGAGUUUUGAGGAGCAUUGUAUCAGAUAGAGAAACCCAGUUUACCUCAAAGUUCUGGAAUCAGUUUCACGAAACUUUGGGUACCAGGCUAGACUUCAGUACAACUUUUCAUCCACAGACCGAUGGACAGACCGAGAGAGUCAAUUAGAUUCUGGAGGAUAUGCUAAGAGCUUGUGCGCUAGAUUAUGGAUCUAGUUGGGAUGACAACUUACCAUAUGCGGAGUUCUCUUACAACAAUAGUUAUCAAUCUAGUUUGAAGAUGGCCCCUUUUGAAGCCUUGUACGGAAGAAUGUGCAGAACACCAUUGUCGUGGGAUGAAGUUGGAGACCGCCAGUUAUUUGGACCAGAUCUGAUUAAGGAGUCUGAACAGAAGGUGAAGUUGAUUCGUGAUAGGCUCAAGGUAGCCCAAUCGAGGCAGAAGAGCUAUGCAGAUUCUAAACGCAAGGAGACGGUUUACGAAGCCGGAGAUAGAGUUUAUCUUCGUGUAUCUCCACUUCGAGGAGUUAAGCGCUUUGGAGUUAAGGGAAAGUUAGCGCCACGUUUUGUGGGACCAUACAAAGUUUUGGAACGCAUGGGAGAAGUUGCUUAUAAAUUGGAACUGCCCGAGGGAUUGUCGGCAGUUCAUGACGUGUUGCACGUUUCCCAGUUAAAGAAGUGCCACGCAGAGAUGGCGGAUAUACCAUUGAGAGAUACAGUGCCGCUGGAAGCGAUUCAGUUGGAUAGUGAUUUGACUUAUGAGGAGAAACCAAUCAAGAUUCUCGAGUAUGCCAGCCGAGUCACUCGCAGCAAGGUUAUCAAGUUUUGCAAAGUUCAGUGGAGCCACCAUACCGAGAAUGAAGCCACCUGGGAACGAGAAGAAGAUCUACGGAAAGACCACCCUCACCUAUUUGCUAGCCAACCCGAAUCUCGAGGGCGAGAUUCAUCUUAAGGGGGGUAGGUUUAUAACAUCCCAAAAUUUUAAUUUGGAAUGUUAUACAUUAGAUCAUCAUUGCAUAUCAUAUUUUAUUGCAUUUUGGCUAGAUCCUAGAAAUCCUACGCAACUAAAGGACCCAUGGAGAGAGUUGGGGAUUUCGUUAUUUUCAUAUUUGGGUUUUCUCAAAUUUUGAAAAUAGGAUCAUUUGAUUUUAUUUAUUUUAUCUCAAUUAUUUCAAUUAUAAAAAUAAGAGAGAGGGAAUAAAAUGACUUUCCCAAAAUAAAGAAAUAUUGAGGAUUUAAUAAAAAAUCAAAUAAGAUUUUAUUUCGGAGUUUUCUCGCUAUUUUAUUUGAAUUAGGAAAAAAUACGCGUUUUUCAAAAUUGCAUUUAGGACCCAAAUAAAUGUUCAUCUUGUCCGGCUUGAUUUUAGAAGUCUGGGAAAAUUUAUUUUGGGAUUUUUGGAUUCCGUUUAGUAUUUCUUUUAUUUGUUUUUCUGCGUGAAAUUAUUAUAAAAAAACGAACCGACCUAACCGGGUCGUGUCCGACUAGGACUCUGGCCCGACCGACCCUUAUAAGCCGGGGAGGCCACCCCGUAGCCCAGCCCGAGCCGCCCUGCCACCCCAAACCCUAGCGCCGCUGCNNNNNNNNNNNNNNNNNNNNNNNNNNNNNNNNNNNNNNNNNNNNNNNNNNNNNNNNNNNNNNNNNNNNNNNNNNNNNNNNNNNNNNNNNNNNNNNNNNNNNNNNNNNNNNNNNNNNNNNNNNNNNNNNNNNNNNNNNNNNNNNNNNNNNNNNNNNNNNNNNNNNNNNNNNNNNNNNNNNNNNNNNNNNNNNNNNNNNNNNNNNNNNNNNNNNNNNNNNNNNNNNNNNNNNNNNNNNNNNNNNNNNNNNNNNNNNNNNNNNNNNNNNNNNNNNNNNNNNNNNNNNNNNNNNNNNNNNNNNNNNNNNNNNNNNNNNNNNNNNNNNNNNNNNNNNNNNNNNNNNNNNNNNNNNNNNNNNNNNNNNNNNNNNNNNNNNNNNNNNNNNNNNNNNNNNNNNNNNNNNNNNNNNNNNNNNNNNNNNNNNNNNNNNNNNNNNNNNNNNNNNNNNNNNNNNNNNNNNNNNNNNNNNNNNNNNNNNNNNNNNNNNNNNNNNNNNNNNNNNNNNNNNNNNNNNNNNNNNNNNNNNNNNNNNNNNNNNNNNNNNNNGGAGCCGCUCCGCCGCCGACCCCGCCACCCACCGGAGCCCCCGCCCGACGCUGGAGCUGCCCCACCGCCGUCGUUCCGCUGCCGAGGUUGACCACCGCCGCCGCCGCCGGUUUCCUCGAGAAAACCGUCAGGUUUUCGUUCGUUUUUAAAAAAAACUAGAUUUGUUUUUUAUAUAGAUCGGUUUUUUUGGUUUAGUUUAUUUAGCGAACGCCCGUUCGUUCGUUCGUUCGUUUUAACGAACGGUUUUCGUCUUUUAGCCGCAGUUAGCGAACAUUCGUUCGUUAGCCAGUUUGUCCAUUUUUAUUUUUCUCGCAUUUUCCGCGAUUAUCUCUGAUCGCGAUUUCUGAUUUAUUUUUCGUUUUAGUAUAACUUUUCGCUCGUUUAUCGGAAUCAGGCGAUUCAAGCGCCUAAGUUUCGUCUCGAAACCCUCUUUCCGUUUAACCAACUCAAACAAGUUCUUGCUUCUGUAAAAUUUGACUUAGGUCCAGAUUAAUAAACACAGUCUGUUUCUUUCGCCGUUUGACUUUCGUUGUUUCGUUUGAAUUGUUUCUUUUUGCAAACCGGAGUUCUUAAGUUGAACUUUCUGGUUAGAUCUCUUAUUUGAGUUUUACCUGUGCAUUAGAUGAGUGCUUAUUGUGUGCUUGUUUGUUUGCGAUAGAGUACACGGAGUGCGCCGCUUGCUACUUCAAAUCUCUAGGUUUCACGGAUCAUCAACAAGACAAGUAACACUUUGAUCAUACCUCUUACUACCCAGUUUUAUUGCAUUAGAUAAAUCCUCAAACAAUUGCAUGAUUAGGAUCUGAAUUAAAUUGUGGGUUUGGGAAGUAGAUGAGGUAGUACCUAUUCACCUGUUUAUUAUCAAACCCUGGGAGUUACUUCUACGUUAUGCUUAUAUUCCUAUGCUAUGCUCAUAGACGUGGUUUGGGUUUGAGUGUAUUCAUGACAGAUGUGAGAUUGUUUAAUUAAUGGUUAACUUAAGGUGGCAACUCUAAUACACAUCUGGGUGGAUUGAGGCACCUGGGUAUUCUAGUGAUUGCCUAUUUUUCUUUAUGAACCGCCACCCAGGCUCAAAGGGAUCAUGAGAUUAUUCAUACUAGAAACUUUCGUGUGCAACCACAAGCUACUAUGGGCUCUAGCAUAGUUGAUUAAGUCAUGCGAACUCUUAUAGUGGUAGACUAGCAGAUGUAGAGGAAAGUAGGUGUAAUGGUCUACCCGAUCGUAAGGUGCUAGCGCAUCUGAAAAACUAUGUCUCGGUCAUCCGUUUCUCAAACACCAUGUAGUGCAAGAAUCCCAACGGAGGAGAUCGAGUCUUGUGGGGAAAAGUGCGCAAACCUCUGCAGAGUGUAUAAACUAAUCAUGGUUAGCCGUGUCCCUGGUUAUGGACAACUUGAGUAUAUAGUACUUGGAUUAUCAUGUGAAUCUCAUCAUGUGACUUUAAUUAAUUUUGUUUGGUUUUAAUGAUGAUGUUUAAUUGGGAUUGAGAGGGUGUCUACGCUCUAAAUGUUUAACAACCACCAUGAUAGUUAAUUAAAAUUUAUUCCUUUGCAGUAGGGAAAAACUGGCUUUACGUAAAACUAUAACCAUGGAGCUUUCCACCAGCCAUAUAUGCAUGUAGUAUAGCCUAUUCUGUUCACUACUCUCUAUGUGUUACAUUGCCAGCAUAUUCCAUGUGCUUACCCGUUUUCGGGCUACAACGUUCAUGUUGCAGACUUUUCAGACGACGAAUAAGGAGCCAUAGGUCGUGGUUCUAUACUCAGUGAUGCCGUUGGAGUUGAUGGACUCACUUAUCUUCCAAGCCUUCCGCUGUUAUCGUUAUUAGAUGGCCUUAAGCCACAUUAUUUGUAAUAAGUUCUCUUUUGAGACAUUCGAUGUAAUAAGUGUGUGAUUGCUACUCUGUUAUAAAUCAUUCAAGUAUUGUGCGUGUCAGCAUUACUGAUCCAGGGAUGACACUGAAGCACAGAGAUCAGACUGUUUGAGGUCUGGUCGCUACAGAUUUCCAAGGCACCCCAAGGUAAUAUUCAAGGAUAACCAAGAACCAAAGUUUGGGGAUGCCCCGGAAGGCAUCCGCUCUGUCGUCUUCGUCUAUGGGUAACUUUACUUGAGGCUAUAUUUUUAUUCACUACAUGAUAUGUGUUUUGCUUAGAGCGUCUUGUAUGAUUUGAGUUCUUUCUUUUUAGUUUGCCACACUCAUCCUUGCUGUACACACCUUUUGAGAGAGACACGCAUGAUUCGUGAUUUAUUAGAAUACUCUAUGUGCUUCACUUAUAUCUUUUGAGCUAGGCAAAUUUUGCUCUAGUGCUUCACUCAUAUCUUUUUAGAGCACGGCGGUGUUUUUAUUUUAUAGAAAUUGAUGAACCCUCGUACUUCACUUAUAUUAUUUUGAGAGUCUUUAAACAACAUGGUAAUUUGCUUUGGUUAUAAAAUUAGUCCUAAUAUGAUAGGCAUCCAAGAGGGAUAUAAUAAAACUUUCAUAUAAAGUGCAUUAAAUACUAUGAGAAGUUUGAUUCCAUAUGAUUGUUUUGAGAUAUGAAGAUGGUGAUAUUAGAGUCAUGCUAGUGAGUAGUUGUGAAUUUGAGAGAUACUUGUGUUAAGGUUUGUGAGUCCCGUAGAAUGCAGGUAUGGUGAACCGUUAUGUAACGAAGUUGGAGCAUGAGAUAUUUUUUGAUUGUCUUCCUUAUGAGUGGCGGUCUGGGAUGAGCGAUGGUCUUUCUCUACCAAUCUAUCCCCCUAGGAGUAUGCGUGUAGUACUUUGUUUCGAUGACUAAUAGAUUUUUGCAACAAGUGAGUUCUUUAUGACUAGUGUUGAGUCCAUGGAUUAUACGCACUCUCACCCUUCUGCCAUUGCUAGCCUCUCUUGUACCGCGCAACUUUUGUCGGUACCAUAAACCAAACAUAUACCUUCCUCAAAAUAGCCACCAUACCUACCUAUUAUGGCAUUUCCAUAGCCAUUUCGAGAUAUAUUGCCAUGCAACUUUCCACCAUUCUGUUUAUUAUGACACGCAUCAUCAUUGUCAUGUAGUUGACACCGUAUUUGUGGAAAAGCCACCGUUCAUCAUUUUAUACAUGUCACUCUUGACUCAUUGCACAUCCCGGUACACCACCGAAGGUUUUCAUAUAGAGUCAUAUCUUGUUCUAUAUCGAGUUGUAAUUUUUGAGUUGUAACUAAAUAGAAGUAUGAUGAUAUUCCUUUUUAGAACAUUGUCCCGUGUGAGGAAAUAAAAGAAAGAAAGAAAAAAGAGGAGAAAAAGAAAAGAGAGAGAGAGAGAGAGAGAGAGAGAGAGAGAAAUGAGAGAAAAAGAGAGAAGGGGCAAUGUUACUAUCCUUUUCCAUACUUGUGCUUCAAAGUAGCACCUUGAUCUUCAUGAUAGAGAGUCUCCUAUGUUGUCACUUCCAUAUAGUAGUGGGAAUUUUCAUUAUAGAACUUGGCUUGUAUAUUCCAACGAUAGGCUUCCUCAAAUGCCCUAGGUCUUCAUGAGAAAGCAAGUUGGAUGCACACCCACUUAGUUUUCUUUUUGAGAUUUCAUAAACUUAUAGCUCUAGUGCAUCCAUUGCAUGGCAAUCCCUACUCACUCACAUUGAUAUCUAUUAAUGGGCAUAUCCAUAGCCCGUUGAUACGCCUAGUUGAUGUGAGACUAUCUCCCUCUUUUUGUCUUCUCCACAACCACCUUCUAUUCCACCUAUAGUGCUAUGUCCACGGCUCACGAUCAUGUAUUGCGUGAAAGUUGAAAAGGUUUGAGAACAUUAAAAGUAUGAAACAAUUGCUUGGCUUAUCAUCGGGGUUGUGCAUGAUUUGAAUAUUUUAUGUGAUGAAGAUGGAGCAUAGCCACACUAUAUGAUUUUGUAGGGAUGAGCUUUCUUUGGCCAUGUUAUUUUGAGAAGACAUAAUUAUUUUGUUAGUAUGCUUGAAGUAUUAUUGUUUUUAUGACAAUAUUAAUUUUUUUUGAGUCAUACGGAUCUGAACAUUCAUGCCACAAUAGAGAAAAUUACAUGGAUAAAUAUGUUAGGUAGCAUUCCACAUCAAAAAUUCUAUUUUUAUUAUUUACCUACUCGAGGACGAGCGGGAAUUAAGCUUGGGGAUGCUUGAUACGUCUCCAACCUAUCUAUAAUUUUUAUUGUUCCAUGCUAUUAUAUUAUCUGUUUUGGAUGUUUUAUAUGCAUCAAUAUGCUAUUUUAUAUUAUUUUUGGGACUAACCUAUUAACCUAGAGCCCAGUGCCAGUUCCCGUUUUUUCCUUGUUUUAGAGUUUCGCAGAAAAGGAAUACCAAACGGAGUCCAAACGGAAUGAAAAUUCUGCGACGAUUUUUCUUGGACUAGAAGACAUCCAGAGGACUUGGAGUGCACGUGAAGGAAGCCACGAGGCAGCCACAAGGUCGGAGGGAGCGCCCCCACCCUAGUGGGCCCCUCGUGACUCCACCGACCUAUUUCUUCCACCUAUAUAUUCUCAAAUAUUCCAAAACCUACCAGGAGAGCCAUGAAAGCACUUUUUCAUUGCCGCAACCUUCUGUUCGUGUGAGAUCCCAUCUAGGGCCUUUUCCAGCGUCCUGCCGAAGGGGGAUUUGAUCACGGAGGGCUUCUACAUCAACACCAUUGCCUCUCCGAUGAAGCGUGAGUAGUUUACCACAGACCUACGGGUUCAUAGCUAGUAGCUAGAUGGCUUCUUCUCUCUCUUUGAUUCUCAAUACCAUGUUCUCCCCGAUGUUCUUGGAGAUCUAUUCGAUGUAAUACUCUCUUUGCGGUGUGUUUGUCGAGAUCUGGUGAAUUGUGGAUUUAUGAUCAGCUUAUCUAUGAAUAUUAUUUGAAUCUCCUCUGAAUUCUUAUAUGCAUGAUUUGAUAUCUUUGCAAGUCUCUUCGAACUAUUUGGUUUGGCCAACUAGAUUGGUUUUUUUGCAAUGGGAGAAGUGCUUAGCUUUGGGUUCAAUCUUGCGGUGUCCUUUCCCAAUGACAGUAGGGGCAGCAAGGCAUGUAUUGUAUUGUUGCAAUAGAGGAUAACAAGAUGGGGUUUUCAUCAUAUUGCUUGAGUUUAUUCCGCCACAUCAUGUGAUUUUGCUUAAAGCGUUACUUUGUUCUUAUGAACUUAAGACUCUAGAUGCAUGUAUGAGUCGGUCCAUGUGUGGAGUAAUAGUAGUAGAUGCGGGCAGGAGCCGAUCUACUUGAUACGGACGUGAUGCCUAUAUUCAUGAUCAUUGCCUUACAUAUCGUCAUAACUUUGCGCUUUCCUAUCAAUUGCUCGGCAGUAAUUUGUUUACCCAUCGUAAUAAUUUCUAUCUUGAGAGAAGCCUAUAGUGAAACCUAUGGCCCUCGGGUCUAUUUUCCAUCAUAUAAGUUUCCGAUCUACAAUUUUAGUUUCCUAUUUACUUCCUUUGUAAUCUUUACUUUCUGUUCCAUAAACCAAAAAUAUUACUUUACUCUUUAUCCAUCUUUAUCAGAUCUCACUUUGCAAAUAACCGUGAAGGGAUUGACAACCCCUUUGUCGCGUUCGCUGCAAGUUGGUGUUUGUUUGUGCAGGUAUUCGGUGACUUGUGCGUUGUCUCCUACUGGAUUCAUACCUUGGUUCUGAAAACUGAGGGAAGUACUUAAUCUACUUUGGUGCAUCACCCUUUCCUCUUUAAGAGAAAAACCAACGCAAGCUCAAGAGGUAGCAAUGUGCUGAAGAGUGGCUCACCCAUAGUGGAGUAUGGGGGAGCAAUCUACUUGUCUUCAUCGAGCCAACGCAAUCAAGAAAUGUGGUCCAACUUGAGGAGGUCAAGAUCAUCAUCAUCUAGGUCAAGUGGACUAUGUGCAAGGCAAAGGUUCAUGGUGGUAGUUGAGAGACCGGGUUAUAGGAUUUGCCGUACUAUUAAGGGGGGCUCCCGAGUGAGUAGCUUGAUCGUAUCAUUCGUAGAGAGCUCAAACCAUUGCAUCCUUGCAUCAUCUUUCUUGGUUCUUGUUUGGUUCUUCUCCUUGUGAGAUUUGGAACUUAUGGUCAUCUUCAUGACAAGCUCGAGUUCAUCGAAAACAGAGUUCACAUGCAUCUUCUAUGAGGUUUUAAAUGUUGGUUUUUUGCAUGUUCUUCAUUCAUAGAGGUUUCACAUAUGUAUAUCAUUGGCAUUUUUAUACUGCCUCUUCUCGCUAUUUGGAUAGUAGUCAUCGUCAUCUGUCGAACAAGCUUGAGUUUGCUCUGUUCGAAGCCCGUAUGGAGAAGUUAUGGCAGUUCUAGUUUUCCUACUUCCAUCUGUUUGCUUGGGCUAUUUUCAAGCUCACUAGCGGUAGUACUGCUUGCGUGGUACUUCUGCGAUCCAUUACCGCGGGGACCACCGCUUGUGUUCAGGCUUCUGGACUUGUUUUCGCUUCGACGACAGUUGGGCACGGUAGUACCGCACGUGCCCAGCGAUAGUACUGUUCCCGCGAUACUUCCGCGAUCGACUACCACUGCUACUUCCGCCUAUUUUAUUGCCACUGGACUCGUCUUUCUCUCCGCAGUUGUAGAGCGACUAUAAGGGACGAUAGUACUACUUCUCCCCUGUAUACUGCAACCUCAGCGAUAGUACCACCACGGCGAGCGGUAGUACCGCUCUUGCGACACCGACGACGACUAUAAUGCCUGGCUCGCUCGCAUCACCAAGCACAUCAAUGUUGCCGGCGUCGCCCUGGCGCCAUCUCGCUCCUUGCCGCCUCCGCCAUUGCGUGACGCGUGGGGGUGGCAAGACGCACCUCCUCCACCUGCUCCGCGCAACGAUGGCGUGCCACACCACCGUCUGGAGCGCUCGCCUGAGCCCUCCCACGGCUCCUCCCGGCUGGGUGGCGACAACCCGAGCUGCCAGAUCAUCCAGCGUGCGCGCCCUGACGCACAAGUGCUCAUCGAGAGCCAACGCGAGCACCAAAACCACACCAUCCAGGAGGUCGUGGCCGUCGGGCGCCAGAACCACACUGCCCUUGCAGGCGGCGGCGUCUCCACCGUCGGGGGCUGCAUGGCUUUCACACGCGAGCUCCAUCGCGUGGUGUGGCCCUCAAAGUUCAAGCCGCACCUGCCUCCCCGCUACGACGGCACCGCCAAA
RNAcentral lists this long non-coding RNA (54893 nucleotides) under Triticum aestivum (bread wheat). Its description in RNAcentral is "long non-coding RNA (TAES_LNC005589)". The stretch from base 24615 to 24701 matches the Rfam family "MIR1120/MIR1122 microRNA precursor family". The record is from RNAcentral. Lineage: Eukaryota; Viridiplantae; Streptophyta; Magnoliopsida; Poales; Poaceae.